GGCCAUCCACCUCUCCGCCCACCGCGGCUGCUCCCGGUCCAUCUCCUCCUCCACCGCCGGCGCCGGGUUCCUCCAGAUCUUGGAAAACACAACAUAGGAAUAAGAUCGAACACUUGGAACGCAAUGAAUCGCGCAAAUAGAACAAAACAGAGUGUUAACAAGUUCCAAUCUUACUUGGUGGGAGAAGGCGUAGGACAGUGCCUCGGCAAGCAACCUCAGAUCGAUUAGCUACUUAGCUUAACAAUAGCGGCCGGCCGGGGGUUACCAUGGAGCGACGCGACGUACUCGUUUGUGUACUUGGAGUCCCAUAAGGCGGAGGUGUCGACGCGGUAGGAGGAAUUGUUGCUGCCAGCUUGUUGCGUUCUGACAGAGGUUGAGCGGAGAAUCAGAGAAAGGGGAGAGGGGUCACGGGGGAGAAGAAAUGAAAGGGCAGGGGGUUAUUUGCAAAAAAUCUUCCACGUGGCACCUGACAAGUGGGCCCGAAGAGCCACGUCGGCAUGAGACACGCGCCCAAGUCACAUUAGGACAUGUGUUGAACCACUUAUUAAACAAUUGGGACUCAAACGUGCAGUUUCAAAGAAUUGAGACUGACUUGGGACUUUUGUGAAAGAAUUAGGACCUCCGAUGCAUUUUACUCCUUUCAUUAUUUAGUCGAUGAACAGCUAACCCACACAUCUGUUUAUUUUCUUAGACACGUCAUUAUAAGACCAUCUCCGAUAUAGCAAGACCGUUACUUCAUGCAUCAGGUCAACUCUUUUGCUUAGAUGGAAGAGAGAAGUGGAAUUGAUGUGAUACGUUGUAUGUUGAUGAAGGAAUGAUACCUGCACUGGUACCAAGAAACAUGGAGGAGCAAAUAAAGAAUGAUAAGCAUCUCCUCCGUCCGGAAAUACACUAAAACGCGUCUAGAUACAUAUGAAUCUAGAAAAAUUCGAGUUAUUUAUUUCUGGAUGGAGGGAGUAUGACUGUAGACUCAAGGAAAAACAAGCACGGUUUAGGAAUAUUAAAUUGGGAGAGAAAUGAAAUAAAGACGAGAUGAGGUGAAAAGGAUAUUGUGGAAUAUAGGAUUUAAAUUCAGUGGAGUUCCCAGCAACAUGUUUUGAUGCUCCGGAGUCUAAUAUCCAUUCAGAAAGAAUUUUGUGUGUUGCUAUUGAUGCAUGUUCAGCAUACCUUCACUUGUAUCGACAAAGUUGGCAUAAUUGCCAAAACUGGAGCUGGUAGUAGCUUGCUGUCCUUCUGCACUUUGCUUACCCUUGCCUGAAGCAGCCAUGUUUGCGCUAUGAGUCCCUCCUCCAUGUUGAGGGCCACCACUCCUAGUUCGCCCCCCUCUAUUGCUGCCUCCUCUAUUGCUGCUACCAUCACCAUAACCUCUUCCCCUACCUCUUCUAGGAGCAGUACAAUAUCGGCUCAGAUGCCCUAUGUGACCACAGUUGUAGCAAUCCCUAGUCUCUUUCCAAGUUGGCUCCCAUUGCCUCUGGUCAGUGACCUUGAAAGCUGAUUCAUUUCCACCACCCUUCUUAAACUGUAGGUGCACUUCUUCCUGUGACAUUGCUGCAAUGGCUUCAUCAAGAGAUGUGAGCUCUGGUUGAUGUAACAUAGUUGCACGCCUGCCUUCAUAACCUUGGUCCAAACCCUUCAAGAACUUCAUCACACGGCGGCGCUCGACCCAAGCCCUAGCAAUCUCCAUUGACUUUGGAUCUGAUAGCUCCAAAGGAUCACACUGUUUUAAAUCUGCCCGGAGAUGCUGCAGCUCAUUUACAUAAUCCAUCACAGUCUUGUCACCUUGACGGACAUCAUGCACCUUGUCUUCAAUUUGAGACAUUAACAUUAAAUUCCCCUUGCCAGAGUACCUUUUGGAUAGUUGGUUCCAUACAACCGAGGCACUAGGCAGCGCUUCAACAGAAGCUGCAAUGGCUGGAACUAAGGAAUUCAGCAUCCAAGCAAAAAUCAGGGAAUCAAUGACACUCCAUUUCUUCCAGUCGGAACUCUCUUGUUCAGCUGGUUCCUCAACACUUCCAAGGACGUGUCCUGUCAACCCCUUUGUAUUUAAUAUCAGCAAUGCCUGCCUCGACCAGCUCAAGUAGUUCCCCACACCUUCCAGCUUGACAUCAUUAGGCAUGAGCUCAAGUUUUUGAACUUGAUAUGAUGGAGGCACAACCAUCGCACCACCUGCAGAAGCUGAGGUGUUUGCACUCUUGGCGGUCAGAAGUUGUGCCAACAUCUCUAUAGCAGCAGUCAAUUCAGUCUCCAUGAUUCUGACCACUUCAGCACUCCGUCUCAACCUUCUCUGCUUCCUCCUUCUUCCUCACAUGCAGCACUAUCAACAGCAGCAGCACCACCAGCCCUGUCACCUGUCCAGGCAACAACCACAGCCGCCGUCGACUCCUCCAGAUCCCUGUUGGCCGAAGCAGCCCUGCCUCGUCCAGCCCACAGCUCCACCACACACAGGCCAGCGAGCAGCGCACCGCCUCGCCGUCGCGCACCCAGCACGCGCUGCCACCUCUGCCAACUACGCCCUCACCACCACCGCCGGAGCCAUCGCCACCUCCAUCGAACCUGGCUCUGAUACCAUGCAGUUUGAGGGGAGGAGCUCACCUCCAGGCUCCAGCAGCAGCAGCAGCCCCUCUCUUCUCUGUUCACUCUCUCUGGCGGCUCCCUUCCACAGGGAGGGCACUCCACUACCUCUUCUAGGGCAGGACAGGUACAAGACCUGCUGGGCCAUAUGGGCCAAUAGAAGAUGGUCUUCAGCCCAAUUACCAUUCAACAGGAAACUAUUCACACAGCAGAUGGUACAGCUCAACCCAUAAAAGGAAUUGGGACAAUUGCAUGUGCCUGCUUUUCCAAUGAACUUAGUGUCUCUAAGUGCUUUGAUUGAUCAAAUAGAUUGUUUUGUGAUUCUUAACAAAAGGAUGUGUUUGAUUCAGGAGGGUGUGACGGGCAGGAAGCUUGGGACUGGAACAAGGUGUAGGGGGUUGUGGUACAUGGAUCGCAACAUGUCGAGCCAGGAGGAAAAUCAAGUGUUUGCUGCGGUCUCUGGAGAUAGGGAGACUAAAGCUCUAAUCCAUAAUUAUCGAAUGGGUCAUGUGUCAUUUGACAAAAUGUAUCAAAUAUUUCCUGAUGCUAUGUGUGGUGUUGAUAGAGGCAAGCUGAAGUGUGAUGCUUGUGAGUAUGCCAAACACACCAGAACCUCGUAUGUGAGUAAGGGGAUUAGAAGUAUAUCCCCAUUUGUGUUAAUCCAUUCUGAUGUAUGGACAUGUCCAGUGGUAUCUAUUAGUGGCAUGAAGUACUUUGUGACAUUUAUUGACUGUUAUUCUCGGAUGACUUGGGUCUAUCUCAUGCGACAUAAGGAUGAGGUGUCUAAGUGUUUUAAAAACUUCUAUGCUCUCAUGAAGAAUCAAUUUAAUGUGCAAAUACAAGCUGUUCGCUCUGACAAUGGCACUGAGUAUGUUAACCAGAUAUUUGGUGCUUUCAUGUUUGAACAGGGAAUCUUACAUCAAACCUCAUGUCCAGAUACGCCUCCUCAAAAUGGCGUGGCUGAGAGGAAGAAUCGACAUAUUUUGGAGGUGGCCCGGGAUCUAAUGUUCACCAUGAAUGUGCCGAAGUUCUUGUGGAGUGAGGCUGUUAUGGCUGCCACAUACUUGAUCAAUCGCAUGCCCUCUCGGAUAAUAGGUAUGAAAUCUCCUUGUGAAUUAAUUCUCAAAGAGAACACCUUUAUAGUUCCACCAAAGCUGUUUGGUUGCACCUGUUUUGUGAGAGAUCAUAGACCUUCAGUGAACCAGCUGGACCCUCGGGCUGUAAAAUGUAUCUUCAUUGGGUAUUCGUCUGGACAGCGGGGCUACAAGUGCUAGAGUCCUUCAAAGCGAAGGACAUUUGUGAGCAUGGAUGUCACGUUUCGGGAGUCAGAAUCUUUCUAUGGAACUAAAACAGAUCUCACUAUCCUGUUUCAAGACCUUGACCAUCUUCCGUUUAAUGAAGUUGGUCAAGAGGGGGAGAGUGGAGUUAGUGGAGUUCAGGCGCAAAGUGGAGAUGCCCAAGUUCAGUCGGCACCGAUUGUGGGUCUUAUUCCGGUUGGCCAAGGACAGAUGGUCUAGUUCGUGAGAAUCCAAAAGAUAGGUGGUGCAGGAAUCCCUAUGUUUAUACUAGAAGAAAGGUGGGUAGACAACAUGUUCAGGGGGAGCAGCCCCAGGGAGAACGACAAGAUAGCAAUGACACAAUUGUUCAGGGAGGAGGUCAUGUAGAGGGUGAGUCCGCAACUACUGGGGAGUCAAUUGAUUUUCCGAUAGCCUUGAGAAAAGAGACUCGUGUGGGUGCAGGGAUUCCACCAGAAAGGUAUGGCUUUGAUGACCAUGACAUUGGCAACUGUGUUUCAUAUGAAGCCUUAUCUCCAUCCUACAAAGCAUUUGUUGCUUCUCUCCGGUCUGUAACAAUUCCAACUGAUUGGAAGAAAGCAAAAGAAGACUCCAAGUGGCGCAUGGCCAUGGUGGAAAAGGCUAGAGGCUUUGAGUAAGAACAAAACUUGGGUGCUAACAACUCUUCCUACAGGAAAGAAGGCAGUCAGUUGUAAGUCGAUUUAUACAGUGAAGUAAAAUGCAGAAGGAAAGAUUGAAAGGUACAAGGCAAGGCUUGUGGCUAGAGGAUAUAGCCAGACCUAUGGCAUUGAUUAUGAUGAGACCUUUGCACCAGUAGCAAAGAUGAACACAAUGAGGAUAUUGAUCUCAUGUGCAGCCAAUUUUGGGUGGCCUCUACAUCAACUUGAUGUAAAAAAUGCAUUCUUGCAUGGAGAUCUACCAGAAUAAGUCUACAUGGAAAUCCCACCUGGGUUUUCUACAUCUGAAACUGCUGGCAAUGUGUGUAGUCUAAAGAAAUCCCUUUAUGGUCUAAAACAGUCCCCAAGAGCUUGGUUUGACAGAUUUAGGCGUGUUGUUUGUGAUAUGGGGUAUAGUCAGUGCAAUUGUGACCAUACACUUUUCUAUAGACACUUGAAGGGAAAGAUCACUAUUCUUGCAGUAUAUGAGGAUGAUAUCAUUAUUACUGGGAUUGAUAAGGUGGAGAUAUCGAGACUGAAAGAUUGCUUGGGAAAGGCCUUUGAAGUUAAGGAUCUUGGCCGAGUCAAAUACUUCCUUGGUAUUGAAGUGGCCAGAUCUCCAAAUGGAAUAGCUCUAGCUCAGCGGAAGUAUACACUGGAUCUUCUCAAUGAUGUUGGGAUGCUAGGUUGUCGGCCAGCCUCAACUCCAAUUGAUCAAAACCACAAAGUAACAGCUCAAUCAGGUGACCUUGUGGAUAAAGAACGAUAUCAAAGGCUAGUUGGAAGAUUGUUGUAUUUGUGUCAUACACGUCCUGAUAUUGUCUUUGCAGUAAGUGUAGUAAGUAGAUACAUGCACGAGCCUAGAAGUGAGCAUCUUGAGGCAGUCUACAGAAUUCUGAGGUAUUUGAAAGGAACUCCAGGAAAGGGACUAUUAUUCGAGAGUAAUAGACAUCUUGACGUAGAUGGUUAUUGUGAUGCUGAUUGGGCAAGUUGUCUAGACGACCGAAGGUCAACUUCAGGGUAUUGUGUCUUUGUUGGUGGGAACUUAGUAUCAUGGAGAAGCAAAAAGCAAGCAGUUGUGUCCAGAUCAAAAGCAGAAACUGAAUAUAGAGCAGUGAGAUGUUGUGGGUAAGGAAUCUGUUGAGUGAGUUGAAGGUAUUAAAGAAUGGUUGUCUAAAUGUGUGGUGUGACAAUAAGUCGGCAAUCAGUAUAGCAAACAAUCCUGUUCAACAUGACAGAACGAAACAUAUGGAAAUUGAUAGAUUUUUCAUCAAAGAAAAGUUAGAUGCUGGGAUUAUCAAGAUAGAACAUGUGAGCACAGGACAACAGAUUGCAGAUUGCUUAACAAAAGGAUUGGGGACUAGAGAGUGCAAUCUAGCGUGUGACAAGAUGGGAAUGAUAGAUAUCUAUCACCCCUCUUGAGGGGGAGUGUUGAAUGGUAAUUGGGCUGAAGCCCAUCUUCUAUUGGCCCAUAUGGCCCAGCAAGUCUUGUACCUGUCCUGCCCUAGAAGAGGCAGUGGAGUGCCCCCCUGUGGAAGGGAGCCGCCGGAGAGAGUGAACAGAGAAGAGAGGGGUUGUUGCUGCUGCUAGAGCCUGGAGGUGAGGCCCUCCCCUCAAACUACAGAUAUUAGCGGCUUUAGAAACGAACAGUUGUGAUGUUAUCAGAAAGCUACCAAAGAGUACAGUUGUUAAUGUAAUAAACUAACGGGAUUAAAAAUCCAUAAAAACCAACGGCAAUAAAAUGCUGGAGUGCCAGUCACACCUUCCGACUAAGGGGUAUACAAAAAGAUCAAAGAAAAUACCAAUAAAAUACAAAAUGGAUACUUGGGUCACCUGAAGAGCCUUGCAGAGCUUUUGGGCCUCAGCGGUGAAAAAUGUGGGGCGUCGUGGUGCCCAUCUUGAUCUCAUAGGAAGUGGCCACUGUUGCCGGCGGUGGGGUCGAGCACGGGGAGAGGGCAAGGCUGCCCUGGACGCCGUGGACGAGCGUGUGGCUUACACGGGCAUACUCGCCGGUGACAUGCACCCGGCAGCUCUCUCCUCCCACAGCAUGCAGUCAUCAUGGACGGACAAUACACCCACCAGCAAGACGGCCCUGUAUUGGAGCAGCCUGCACGGCAGCACCGCGACGCUGGCGGCGGACGAGGACUACUUGUACAACAGCAACAACCCUCGUGAUCCGCUCCUUCACGAGGCCGUGCAACCGUAGAUUGCUGUCGUCACUAUCGUGCCAUUGUCGCCUCCCCGAAGUCGAUUUGCCGCCGUCGACGACAAUAGUUGUAGUCCCGAUGUUGUUGAGAGAGAUAGAGAGUCGAGGGGGAGAUAGAGACAUAGCAAAGAGAAAGAACCGUUCGACUCACGACGCUUUUGCAGAAAACCCCCUGAGAAAUUGCAGCAACACUUAUGCAGGUGUGGCAGCCACAUGGCUAUUUUAACCCCUUCUAAACCGAUUUUGACUGAACUGAGAUAGUAAUCCUAGUUUGGGGCGUUUGAUUAAAAUGCUAUGCACAACCUGUCUUUGAUUAAAAUGUUUUACAUAGUGUGUGAAAAAUGUUCAUUAUGAGUUUAUGACAUAUAAAAUGUUCACAAUUUAGAAAAAAAACAUAUUCACUUUUCUUUGCAAAGAAGUUUCUGCUGUUGGACCGGUCCAUAUUAUAUCUGAACUUGCACGGAUCACAGAACUGGAUCCAAUGGUCAUCAAUUGCGUUUGGUACCAUUUUGAUCGAAAACACAAUCUUACAAAUAACUAGACUAUAUAGGUAGUACAGGUGUUGGUAUUUAUGUUGACGGGACCAUGUAGUAGCAAAAUGGUUAGUACAGGUCGGUGGUAGCCUUUAGGCCUUGAAUAAUUGAGAAAAGGACCACUCACUCACCCACAACCACGUGAGAACAAAAGAGAUAGAAUAGCAUUGACUGACUUUGCACUAACCUGUGAUACCCGACGCACCAAACACUCAAGUUGUAUUGCCCUUUCCCUCUAAUGAUUUUGAAGUUGCAACCCAAUUUCACUUGACUUGGGAAGAAUGAUUGAUCGAGCCACAUAUCAGUUGAUUGGGACAUGGAUUUCCGUAGGGUAAGAGCUUUAUUUUGCUUUGAGAAAUUUACAUCUGAAAAUAAAUCUUAGAAACAAGCAAAGGAGGAGGAAACAAGCAUGUCCAAGUUUUUUUUAAAUAAGCUUUUCUUGUACAACAACGUGUAAAUUGGAAGUCCUAAAGAAAAAAAAGGUAAUAUGCUUCAACAGUACUACUAUUAUUACUGGGUGCCAAUUUAGUCCCAAUAUUAUGAUACUGCAUAUUUACGUUUCAAUUUUGUUCAAAUUAUUCAUGCAAGGUUUUAAACUAUCUCAAGAGUCACCGACUCUCCAGCGUGGAUCUUUGACCACAGAUUCAUUGGCGGGUGAGUGUUAGCGUGGGAUUUCCCACCGUGAGUAGCUGGGCAAUUGUUUUUUAGAUACACCCCUACAAAAGGCCGAUCUCACUCAUUGUUCUCGACUCCACCACAUUCUUCUUCUUCCAUCCUUUUGCGCUUCCUUUCCUCUUGCCCCUUUUUUUUGCGGGUAAAACACAAGCUUUAUUAAUCAGGUUGCAAAUUACAAUCAGCGCUCAAGGCGCUUUGAACCCACUCAGAUUUUUCUCCUAGCCAAACUACAUACCUCUUUCCUCUUGCCCCUGCCAACACGGCUUCCGUUGGUGAAGUGCCCUUGUAUAGAGGACCCUUGAUGUGUCUUAUCUCCAACAUGUCGCCAAAUCCUGGCCAAGUGCUAUACAAAUGUCCAAAUCAUUAGGAAAAUUUUGGUCAAUUUCAAUCCGAUGUAACAUUUCGCACUCUUUUCUUUUGCCCGUUUUGUGAUCUUGGUUUCAGACAGAGGAGUGUCGAGCCUUUCAAUUUCUACCAACAAGAUGGAGAGGACAAUAUAUAUGUGCAGUACUUAGAGGCGAUUGGCACCCAAGUUCUAGGUUUUUUGGUGUUAUCUCGGGUGGAGUAACCAGAGUAGACGAAGCAGAAAAGGAGGAGGAUGUCAAUAGAAUUGAGAUCCUAGACAGGCUAAACAAGGAUCUGGCACACUUGGUGGGUAGAUAAAUGGCAUGUAGGAGAGGUGAUAUGACAAAGGCAAUGAAAUAGACGACAGAGCCCGUUCAAGUAUGUAGAAAGAGCUAUUGUUGUGUUUGCAUGAAACCAUUAUAUUUGUACAUCAAAUUUGACAAAAAAUGACGGCAAUUCAAAUAGGCAUGAAACUGGUAAGAAUUCAAAUAUGUCUAAAUUAAAACAUAAAUAAAUAAAACUUCAAGCUAAUCCAACAUAUGCAUGUCCAAUGUUAAGUCAAAUCAACGAUUUCAAGAAAGAACCGUAUUCAAAGCUUGGAUUGAGGUGAUUACUAUAAGCGGAGGAGGAUUGCUAGGGGGUCAUCAUGCACGGGCCAUCUCAACGGAGCACCCUGGCAACAGGUCGAUAGCACCUGUUGCCAUCAAGGUCGGCUCGCCGAGUAAAAGAGUGAGAAAAAAAUAACGGAUUUGCUAACUCUCAGUCAUCUGAGAAAUCUUAUUUCUCAGUCGACGUGGGAAACAACAGAGUCUAAGUAAAGAGAUAACUGAACAUACACAUGAACUGCUAGUUGGUCCGGUGGUUGGUGGACCUAACGCCUGUAGUUGAGCUCUUGUGUUUGACCAUUGGGUCACUUAUUUUACUGUUUUAUUUUCUUAUUUCUAUUUUUUGUUUCGUAUUUAUAGUUUAUGUAGGUUUUGUUUUUAACUCUUAUUUCUCUUGAUUUCACGUUUUAUUUUCUUUUUUCAUGUGCAACUCUAAUGUUAAGUGAGAAUAUGCGUGUUUGUCUUUAUGUUACAUCUAUUUAGUUUAUUCGACCGUGUUAAUCACAAACAGUUGGUGUGUGUACCUAUGUUUUUAUUUCUUUUUUUUCUACGAAUUGCAUACUCAGAUUUUUUUUGGGUUGACAAAUUAUAUAUGUGCGGUAAUAUAAAAUAGCAAUAUUGCACAUUUAUUUUAUUUUCUUGUGUUCCAAGUUUAUUUUGAACCACUUACUAUUCCGAAAACCAUAAUUUUAUUGUGCAGCUUUAGAAUUAGGUGUUGGUCAUUUUUUUCGUCUUAGAGCGUGUGUUGGGCUGACGAUGUUUUAAUUAUUUGUUGGUUUUAGGCCAAUAAUUAAAUUUUUCGAUUUUAACUGCAAUUUUUUGAGUUGGAUGGACGUUGCAACUGCUAUUUCUCGAGUUGGAUGUUGCAACUGCAAAUUCUUGAGUUGGAUGGACGUUUCAACCGUAAUUUUUCGAGUUGGACGUUGCAACUCUAAUUUUUCGAGUCGAGGUCUAUUUUUCGAACAAGUUGCAACUAUAAUUUUAUGGUACCAUGGAUUGCAUACAACCAUAAGGAACACGCGCGCGCCAGGGAGAGACCUGCAUGCAUGCAUGACUCCCUCACCUGCAUGCGUCAAUCCCUGCACGCGUGAAUCUCUCGCCUGCAUGCAUGCUUGAAUCGCUGAUUGAUCUCGUCUUGAUCUCGUCGAAAUUUAAUUUCUAGUCGACUGAGCGUUAGACAUUCCCAAAAAAUAAAGAGCUAAAAUAAAAAUAAGACAACAUAUACAAGGUAAUUUAAAACCAACUUGACACCACAAGAAUAAUAGGACGGCAAUGCAUUUUACUCACAAGUCACAACGAAGCUGGAUCAACAAUCUAAAAAUGGCUAUUCGAGAAUAAUCUAGUUUUGUUUUUGAAAAGCUUAAGCCGAUAGAAAAUGACGUAACAAAACAUUUUUGUUUACUUGGGCCGUAGGGACAAAGCUAAAGAAUAUGCUUGUCCAAAGAAAAAGCGUGAAAGGCAAUCCACGACAGGGUAGCACACGAGACGAGACGAGAGGCAAGGUAGCAGCCAGGAGGCAUGAGAACAAAUGAGAUGUACGGUAACCAAGACGAAGAAUAUCCUUUGCCUGCCUGCCCUGCACUGCCAGCUCCUGCAGCCAAAACUAGCACCAAAGCCGCUCGAGAAAUCAAAAACAAAACAUAUACGACCUGCAGCCUUUUUGUUUAUUAGCUGAUGGACAUAGAUUGAUAGAUAUGAGAGCCACGCGUGCAUGCCGACAAGACGAGCAGACAAGGUUGGUUGGGCUCAGCAGGUGUGAGAGAUACAGUAUGUCGUAAUCAGAUACAGUAGAUAUAUAGCUCCAUUACUCCAUACAUAAAUAAAUACUCCCGUGAGUAUAAUUGCUCAUGUGUUGGAAACAUGUUGUGGCAGGUAUGCUUCGUUUUGCAGCUGGCCGAGGCCGACCAGUUCUUGUGAAUCUGCAGUGACUUGGAUCGUGUAGGUUAUAUACUGUGUACUACUGGAGCUGCUCACAUCGAGGAAUUGACAAGAGGGCAUUCGCAUGACGAUAUUUCCCUUGUAAGUCUGAAAUGUCAAGGAUAGCAAGUUGGCCGAUCUUGAAGUACUUUCUCCGUUUCUAAAUACUUGUCGUUGUUUUAUACAAGUUUGCACUAAGCCAGCGACAAGUAUUUAAAACGGAGGAAGUACGUUUCUGUCUCCAAUAGUUGAUACAAUUACCUAACCAAUCAACUGCUACCAGUACUUAUAUCAUUGUGGAUUGUGGGAUAGGUCACACGUAACAACCACCUGGAGUCCCUUUCAGCUCUGUUUCGUCUCUAUUAUAUCCUAUAUUCUCCCUCAGAUGUGUUUGUCGCAUGUGAUGAAUUGAUUAAAGACUGUGCCAAAUCUCUUUCUUCCACUACUCUGAAAGAGCUACUCUCUCCGACCGGUAUUACUAGUCUCAAACUUGUUCAAAUACGGAUGUAUCUGAAAGAGCUACUCCCUCCGACCGGUAUUACUAGUCUCAAACUUGUCCAAAUACGGAUGUAUCUAGAUACAUGUAAUAUUUCGACAAAUAAUUCCGGUCGGAGAGCUAGACGGUUCUCUUCAGAGAACUUUUCCAAAUUUCACAGCUCAAGACCUGAGAGCUAGGUGCAUGCACAUCACACCAUUCAAUUACCUGACUCUGAAGUCUGAACCACGUUGAUUAGCAGCCGGGCUGCUACCUCACAUGACAUGAAAGUUUGUUCUUAGGGCGUUGAUGUGGAAUUAUUAUAUACAGUAUAUGACCAAGACUUUCAAAGUAUGUUGGCAUUUGCCUUACGAUCUAAAUUUUGCAAACAACCGGGUGUCUGGUUCCAAUAAUUGCAUGCCAGCAUUGGAGAUUUCCCGAGCUAACUAAGUCAGACUAUACGGUAUAAUUUAAUCGACUCUGGACAUUGGAGCCUAUCUAUCAUCAUCGUGAUAUUUAUUGGAGAACCCUGUUGCCAUCACCAAUAAUGUUUCAGAUUGAAUACACUUGUGCAUGCACGUAUGCAGAUCUCCAAUUUGAUUGAGCCCGGAGUCAAACAACUUUGCUUUAUUUGUUGUGGCCUUGUGGGCACAGAGAGGAGUUGUUGCCAUUCAUCGAACGGGUUAAGUACUGUAGUACUAUUUGAGUACUAUAUGCCGUAGCUAGAGCCUAGUGAUCUUGCUCGCGUAUGCAGUCUUAUGUGUUUGUCUUGUUGCAGUGCAUAUUGUUAAGCCGUUGAGAAAUGUCAAUUUGUAUAAAGUCCAUUUGGUACCUUGCCAUUAAGAACGUUGUCGCUCGAUCUGGUGGAGUUGAUGUCUCGUGUUUACACAUUAUGUUUCGUACUCCCUCCGUUCAGGAGUACAUUGGGAGGGAAUGGUCCCGGACACAUUCAUCUUUAUUUAAAUCUUCAAAGACCAUGUCAACAAAACAUCACCUUUUGUGAACUAAAAGAGUAAAAGGAGUAAUAACUCAAAAUUUCCUUUUCUUUGCGUUAUCUUCAUUGUAUGCUUUGGAACCUGAAGAGAAGAUACAAAUACAAUCGCUAUGGUUGUGUCCAUCCGUUCAUGCAACGGUCAGGGGAUUGAUCCUCAUUUUCGAUAAAAAGUAAAUGAAACAAUUACAUUCAUUAAUUUUGUCUUCCCUACAAAUGUCAUUGGUUGACUAUUUCAAAACCCUGUUCUCAUGCAGGUCUAGGAGCCAGCAACAAAAAGGAAGGAUGAACUGAGGUUAAAAGUUGUUGAGAAAUGUCAAUUUGAAAAAAGUUCAUCUGGUACGUUGUCAUUUUAUGAAUCUUGUGAUUCCAUCUAAUGGAGUUACUGGCUCAUGUUUACAAAUUAUAUUCAGUACUCCCUCCGAUUCAAAAUAAGUGUCUCAGCUUUAAACUAGGUCUAGUUGAAAAAUGCGUCGCUUUAUUUUGGAUCGGAUGUACUACAAAUUUAGUUAAUUUGUUGAAUUUGUCUCGGUCUUCGUAAAUUGAGUAAAUUGCAGACAAAUUCAUACGUGGCGGCUCUUGUAACAGAAACCCACAAAUCCAAGUUAUUUUAACUGAUACCCACAACAUGAAAAAUAAUGAAUAACAGAAAAUUCGAAAAUUAGCGUUUAAGGCCAGUUAACCGUCAUGCACAGGAACCGGUUCUUUGGCUCCCAGCUCAUUCCCGGCCGGCUCCCAUAGGGCGUUGUCUCUUCGUUUAGACGUGGAGUUGCUGGCUUGUUCCUCUCUCCCUGUAUUCUCUCACUCGCUCGCUCCCGGUGCCGAGGAAGACGACAUAGGAGGAGACAGCCGACCGUGCUGCUGUUUCUCCUGCUCGCGGUGGUUAUUGGAUCUGCGCGGGUGGGAUGGGACGCCGGAGAACCUGAGCCUCCCGUCUCUGCGAACGAACGCUCUCUGGGCGAGCCGGCGCUGCCGCUGCAGGGGUCUCGGGCUCCGGCUCGUCGUUCAGGUCGAUGGCGCAGGCGGCUGCGGCGUGCCGUUCUCGACGACGCCGACGCGCUCCUCGAAGGGCAUCGGCGGAGACGCCGCCGCUGGGGAUGAAGUCGGAGGCGGCGGGAAGUCCUCCCAGGAGAAGCUGGGGCACCAGGCCCGGGGAGUAGAAGCGGCGCGACGCACCUCGUCUAAGGCGGCCGCGGAGGCAGAGGGCGCGCUAUCGGCGGCUACGGCCAGGCCCAGAUCUGCUUCCAUGGCAGCACUCGAUCCCAAGCAAAGCUGCGUUCAGAGGUUAGGUGGGGCGUGCGUUCUGGACUCGUGCAGUGAGCCGCGGCCAGCUGCAGGCCAUCAGGGGGAACCUGCGGCCAUCUCUUGCCCGGACUGCCCGACGGAGACGAAGAUUUUGUUCGGCUCAGCUCUCACCCCGGCUCAAGGCCGAUGGCUCAAACAAACUUGACAUACAGACCAGGCUCCUGAGUACGACACGUGGGUCCGAAUCAUUAAAUGGGCUAAACCUGUGAUUUAUGGGGUUUUUUUUAGUCAUUAGUCUUGUAUUUGUGGGUAUCAGUUGAAAACUUUUGGGUCCGUGGUUUUUUGUUACAAGAGCCGCUAUAUAUGUGUUUUUGUACAAUUUACUCCCAUAAAUUCUAGCGUGUGAUUAGGAAAAAAUGGUCCUGUGCAUGUUCAUAUUUAUUUCAACAAAAUGAUGCAUUCGUUUUGAGAAUGCUGCCCAAUUCACAGAAAAGGGACGUUUUGGAAUUGUUUUCUGCCAAAGCUUGGAAACUUUUAGCAAGUGGUCAAACUUAAGUCAAUUCAAUGUCUAGAUCCUCACCUUUUAUUUUUGAACUGAAGAGAGUAGAUGCAACUCAAAUUUCUUUUUGAUUGCCUCGUAUUCACUGUAUGCUUUUUCAACAUGAAGGGGAAGAUACAAAGGGAUACAAAUACAUUGUCUCUUCAUUCUCUAGUUAUGUUCUUGCCCUAUUUGCCUUGGAGUGUCCUAAAGGAUAUUUAUUCCUUGUCUGAGCACGGACGCAAAAGUACAUCAGAUGUAUGUACCAUGGGAAAGGUACAAUUCAUCUCCUGGAUCACGCACAAGGAAUAUACUGAAAAAAGGCACAUGGUGAGGGUAUAUUUCCAAGCGCUUCCCUCGGUUUCAUUCUCCCACAGUAUUGCCAACUUCACACGACGAGCUUAUCCAUAGCGUUCUACUAGGUCACCGCUGGUUGAUGGACUGAUGGCACAUUACAACCGCCAGGAUUACUUAAUUGAGCUUGCUUGAAGGACGCAGUGACUCACGCUACCACCCCGUUUGUUUCAUUUCACAGUUGUCCGUCGACUGCCUCCUCCUGAUGCAUGAAUGAAACGCAGCCUACCUUGAAAGCCAUCGCCCCCAUUUUGAUAAGUUGCUCCGUCCAUUCGUGUCCGGGUUUAUCUAAUCCGAGAUGCCGUGAGCCCGUGACGUGCUCUCCCUGGACGCGAUCGAUCUCCUGCCUUUUCUAUUUCCCUUUGUUUCUUUCUUGGUCGGAAGAGUAGGUGGCCAGGUUGGUUAACCACCUCACCUCCUUUGUGUGAUUGCCCAACACCCCCAAACACCUCUCACUCUCUUUCUCCAACAGCCGUCUCACCACGUCACUACACACACCCGAGAAACAAAAAUUAUCCCUUUUUAUAGGCCAUGUCAUGUACUUAGUCCAACAGAAUAGAACCAGCUCAGCUCUCGAAAGGCGUCAGAUGCUGCUGGAAAGAUGCCACAGAUCGCUCUCUACAUCCUCGCGCUGCUGACACAGUAUCUCGCCACGAUGUCGACAUCCGUCGCACUUUCACAACCAGGAAGUGGAGACAACCAUGGACCAGGCUAAAGCCACAUGUGCUUUGCCGUUCAUGCAUCGCUCCAAUAGUCCCAACCCAAAAACCUUAUUCCCCAUGAAAAUGGGCCCAAGAAUCAUCCGGUUUCAGUUUUUUCCCCCUAAAAUACACCCAAGCAGGUGCAUUCAUUAAAGAAGAAGAGCAGAGCAGUUAUAGCCCUUGCAGGCAGAGUUUUUUACAAGUUUUAUCAUGGAUAAGGAAAAAUGCUAAAACUAUCGCCAAGCAAGCCUGCACUUCUCCAGUUCGCGCCUUCCUCUUGCAAACCCCUCAAAUUUUUUUCCCACAAAGAAGGCCACUCUUUAUCGAAGAAAACCCAUAGUUGCCAAGAAUCUGGUUCGUUCGGGUUGAGGAACGGGAUCGCGUGACGCAGGUCGGCACCUUUGGGGAAAAUUAAGGAGGAUCUACCUUGGGGAAUCGACCCCGAUCCCAAAUUGGGUCGACCAACCUCGGUUCUAGGGACGCGGCGGCGACACGUGAUCCCGGCUUCUACGACAACCCUAUUUUUGUGCUUCCAGAUUGACCAACAAAUCAAGGCCACACGUGUCGCAAAAUCACGCCUAGCCUUGUCGCGCACUUGAAUCAUGGACCACCACUUUGCAAUUUUUGAAUCCUUGUCCGGGAACCAGUGGAUAGCCCCCCAUCCACGCAGGAUCUUCCACCAAACCUCCCUCGUCGUAACACAGUCCAGCAUAAUAUGCGUGAUCGAUUCGGGCUCUUGAUCACAAAGGGGGCAGCGCGGGGGAUGGUCCAGCCCUCUUCUCUCCAAUCUAUCCGCCGUCCAACAGCGAUUAUGACAAGCCAGCCACAUGAAUAAAAGGCACCUCUCCGGCGCCCCGGCUUCCUGACCAACUUAGCGCCAGCCCAUGACUCCCGUCUCUCAAGCAAGCUACCAUAGGCCAAACGGACAGAGGAUUUUCUAUUACUAGCCCAAGCGCAACGGACGGUGUCGUUGCUAGAGCCCAACACCACAUUCCCAAUCCCGACCCCAAACAUAUAGGAACUCCUGUAGCCCCCUCGAGUCAAGAUUAGGGCUCACCUGUCGUGCCUAGUUCCCGUUUUCCAUGCCAGCCACCACCGAAAGAGGAUCAAUCUCCCGCAAGUAGCAAAGGCCCUAGGCGCAAUCUCACAAAGGAGGGAUCCAUCUAGCCAAGGAUUUGUCCAGAAGAACACAUCCUCGCCAUUCCGAGGCUCCACACAACAAGCCGCUUCGAAUCCGCAGCACAAAUAGGACUUAAAACCAUCCUGAAUCCCUGAUGCAAGUGCACGAAUGCUUCCAACUUUUAUCGGUCUGGAUUUUGAACAGAAAACCAAAGGGAGUAACAUGGAUUGUUGUUGUAUUUGGCCAUCUGUAUGAAGAGCCCAAGUCCAACAACACUGGAAGUACCUUACCUCGAAGAUGGGACUCUGUCCUAGCCCAACAAUGUGGAUUGAUGAACCAAUACCGGUACAAAGAGCAAACAAUUAGGGUGGGCGUUCGGUUCAUCAGUUUUUCAAAAAGUCGAUUUCCAGAAGAUGCUCACUGAUUGGCUCUUCUAGAAAUUGCUAACCGAAAAUGGAGUUCUCCAAACAUUCGGUUCGGUUCGCGGUUCUAACCAAACAAAAUCAAUACUACCUUGCACAAUACAAUGCAAACAAAUUGGAAAAAAAAUCGAUUGUGGCGAGUUGGAGGCUAGGACGGUUGUCAACCCAAGGAGGAGGCGGGGGGGGCGGGCGGGGGUGGGAUGGGCUGGGGGGGGUACGAUUCACGUACAACACCAAGUAACAACCGUCGAUACAAGCAGCUUUGAGAUGCCACAGCCACUGAUCACAGUGUCAUACACAAAUCUGAUGUAAAAGAUCAUACACCAAUCGAGUUUUUGAAAAAAUUCGGUUUCAGUCCGGUUCUCGAUUAAAAUGCCCACCCAACAAACGAGUAGUUUUCAAAACCUCUAAUACAUGCUAGACUUCUGACAAACUAAUUUCAUAUUUUACAUCUCACAAGCUGAGUUCUACAGAGUCUUCAACAGCAGUCAUCCAUAAAGAUUUAUGACAAGACAAACAAGAUAGAGAGGGAAUCUGCAGAACAAAAAACAAGAGAUAGGGGGGCGAUGACAACAUAAACUCCACAUACAAAAACGGAACAUCAGGUAUCAGUUCAUGCUGUGCAAGAAAGCUUCAACUAACUUCAGCAGUUUGGGCCGACUCCAUGGUCCAUAGUAUCAACAUGUAACUGCAACAAGACAAAAGGGGGUCUCUGGUUAAUUAGUUCUGCUUACUCGAGGGACAAUGCUACAAAGUUAUCAGACAAUCCAAGGAACCAUGCAACCUCAGAAUGCAAGAAACCAUAAUAGCAGUGGCAGGUAAUUCUAGUCAUUUUAAGUUGUGCUUUUGCAGAAGACACUCUGUUUAUCACAACAUGUUAAUAAAAGUUCAGGUUGCCAUCUGGUUUCUGACCAAGCUCAACAUGUUUUAGAGGAAACCAGUCUGCUAGCCCUUUGGUACUUGGACUUUAUAUAAGUAACAUCAAAACAAAUUAGACUGUGAUGACAUAAAUUACGAACAACAAUUGCACAUCAGGCUAAACUCGAUUUCUUUUAUGAGCCUCCACCUACAGAUUACUGCUCACCGAUGACUAGUUCCAAUAUGUGUAAAACAGUAUGCCACACUUGCGCUUGUGGAUAGAGAGAAUCUGUGGCGCGCAGUACCCAUGUAUGUACUGGAUACUAGUUGGGCCCGGUAGAAGCACCUACUUUGGAAGCCCAAACCAAUAAUGUCUCAUGUUAGCCCUAGCACACACUUAAGCCUCUCUUCGGCACCACCCUCUGCUGAUGAAUGCACCUAAAGCAGUGAGGCUUCGGACUCAGGUCAAUUGGUGAGGCUCUUCACCAGGUCCUUCUUGUUUGCUUUGGCCUUUUGCUUACCCCGCUACAAAGCCAAUAGAACGCAUCCCCUUUCAGCCCUGGCAUGAAUUGUGCCAUUCUCCCAUUUUCUUUGUGUUUAUGUUUCAAUUAUUGAAAGUGCAGAAAAUGAAGGGCUAUGAGAUGAAAGGCAGACAAGGGAACAACAGCAAAAGCUAUAAAUAGAAUAAAAAACAUUUUUCGAAGAAAAAUAAAAAUAACAUAUUGGUAAACAACAAUUCGAAACAUCAGGUACACUGCAUAGAAAAGGGGCUCCCACCAAAGGAUUAGAAACAGGAAAAGAAAAUAUAGCACCAGUUUGGAUCACUUACCCAACAUUCACUUUGGUAUCUUGCGCAACAUUUCACCAAACUUAGAUGAUCAGGAGAAGCUGUCUGGUGAAUUCUCCCUCCUUUCCAGCCAUAUAUUCCUGUAGAAGAAUUCAUGAACAUUAUGCCGGAUCUUUUCUUCUGUGGCUGCGGUGUCUGGAGCGCUUUCUACUCCUGUCCUUGUCAGAUGACCUUCGACUACUAGAUGUAUAUCUUUCCUUGUAUUCAUGAUCACUAGAAUCAGUGUCACGGGUCCGAUGACUCCUUUUCUCCUGGCGUUUUCUCUUAUUCUUUUGACUGUCACAGGAAGAAUCGGCAUCAGGAGUUCUAAUCCUGCCUGUUCUAUGCCUUGAACGUGACUUCCUUUUCUUACUCCUACGACGUUCACUUGAAGAAUCAGAAUCAGACAUUUCACUCUGAAUUCGAUGAUGGGAUCUUCUUUUCCUACUUCUAUGUCGUUCAACAGAAGUAUCAGAAUCUGGACUGCAAUUCUGGAUUUGAUGAUGUGAAGAGUGUGACCGGCCUUCCUCAGCUCUAUGCUCCUGCUUCUCGCAUUUCAAAUCAAGUGUUUCGACAUUGGAUGAAGGACCAUCUUCUUGAGCAUUGGCAGCUUCCACCAAACCAAGAUUACUCUCAUUCUCCUUUAAUUCCCUGCAAAUAGUUGUCUUUCCAUUCCUAGAUGAAACAGUUCUAUCAGCCAUUGGAAGGAUUUCUGAUCUAAAUAAGGCAUUCGCUGGCAGGGCAGGUUUUUCUGGAGGAACAUCCAAUCCCAGUUCUUUACCCAAGGAUUCCAGGAAAUCCUCCGCAACAAGACGAUUAAGGGCCAUGUUGGCACCUUCACUUGUCUUCACUGGAUCCACCGGUUGAUUGUUCAGAGGUUCAUCCAUAUCAUCAUCUGAAUCAUCAGAAAAGAUAGCCUGCCAGACACAACAAAUAACUUGUCAACAUAGAAGUAUAGAACCCUCAAGUCUACUGCAAUCAGUUUCUAAUAAGGGGACUAUAUGUGUGACCAAACUCUGCAGCAAGCUGUGCCCAGACCACCUAUUGUAAAAAUGCAAUUUUACAAUUAAAAAAAGUGAUAAUUCGCAGAUACACAACAUUCUAUAACAUAUGCGGUUGAAAGAAAUCCUGCCAAAACAGGAUGUUAUGUAGGGCAUUCCCUAUCAUCAUAGGGUUCGACCUGACACCAGCUAUAGCCGUGAGGUCUGCCAUCUAAGUCGAUCAACCAGGGUAAUACCUGAUGGAUCAAAGUCCUAGUUCAUUAAGCAAGAGCAAUUAUGAGUCAUGUUAGGAAAGAUUCAAUUGUAUAUCUGCCAGACAAAGCCUCCUUUUACAGGGGCAGCCAUGUUAUGUUUGUCUGAAGCAAUAAUCAAUCAGAUUCAGUCCCCCCACCCCCCCCUCUUUCAAACCACGCUGCAUUCUGCUGCCACAGGCAGAUCGCCGGUCCUACCGCUCCUCCAUGCCCUAUGCAGCAAGGGCUCUUCCACAUGACCCUUUGUGAACACAGAAGUAAUUUGCACACAUAUAGUUGCUAGACUAGUUAUUCUCCUCGUCAUUGUGUACAGUACACAAGUGGUCAAGUUUUUGCACCAUUUUUUGUUAAUGCAUAAAUUAUAGCAUGCUGUCAUGCAUGAUGUUUUUUCCACAUUUUGUGGGAACUUGGCAUGUGCCCAAGAUGGGGUGCUGGCUCAAGUAGUUGUAGAAAAUCUACAUUUGGAUUAUGUCCAUAUCUUCAAGUUCUAGACAGCUUAAGCUCCUCUGAACAUGAAAUAUUUUGGAGGUUUAAUGGGGAAGCAUAAAUAAUUGCCCGACUUUUCUGACCAGACCCACAUUUAUGAUAUCCAAAAUUCUAAAUCCGCACAAGAAAUCAGAGUGUAAAAACUAUUAUAACUAAAAGCAUCAGUCACAGAUCAGUAGUUCAAUAAAGAUAGGAAUGGAAAGACAACUAUUUGCAGGGAAUUUAUUAAAUGGGAAAGCAGACCACACAAAUUAAUGUUAACACACAAGAACGCAUGAUACCUGGAUUGUAUACCCAUUUUGACUUGAAUAAUUAAUUUCCAUACCUUUCCUUUUCUAACCAAAAUUAAUUUACUCUGCAAUUUUCAAAUUCCUGGUGUUUCUAUAUUUUGGACUUCCACAAAAAUGCAUCAAAACCGGGAACAUAUUAAUGUCCCAUCCCACAGAAAGAGGUCAUUCGUCAGCAAAAUCUGGGAUCAAACUCCCCACUUUCUCCAUCAAUAUACAAAUGUGAAUAAUGAUUGAUGUACCCGCUGUUUCCAAUAAAGAGCAUGUAUACAUACUUUAAGCUAUUGUAAUGUAUGUGGCAAUAAUUUGGGAUGGCAUCUGGCAAUGCAACAUUUUCUCCACAACUAUACACUAAAAUUCUCAAGAACAUGGCCACCUUACAUUAUUGCCAUAUUGGUAUAUUAAUACAUAAUACUUGGGAAUUUAAUCAUUCAAAAAUUGUGCCGUUCAUACAUAACUAGGUAUCUAAGCAUUGCAAGAGUCAACAUAUAUAGGGUACCUACACCAAAGCAGCAUCGCUACAUUAAUAGCCCAAUAAUCAUGAAUUCUAUAUAAAAUCCGUUUCAUAUAUGUUCGUAUUUUUGGACUUUUGGUGUGUUUUGGAAGAACAAAACGGUGCACUGUUUUAUAUAGUGCGAAUUUUGAUGCUGCAAGAGGUCAUUUUCAGUGCGAGCAGAAAGCAAAGGGAGCAGACAUCAAACAUGCCUUACUGUAACAAGACUUAGUUCCUUCAGAUACAGUUUAAUUCCACUUGACUUUCUGCCCAAUCUUUCCAAUAAGAUAAUAUAUAGGGGAUACACGUUACCUUGUAAAGAUCAACAGGUCUUUGCAUAGAGCUCGACACAAUAUCAGGAUUAUCUGCAGUUCCCUGUGCCUCGGUUUCUUCUGUUCCUGACACAGAUGCGUGCUGCAGGGUCCUGCUUGAGCUAUCCACGUCAUCAUUCGUCUUUUUAGUGGAUUCUGUCAUAAACAUAAGUGUGUCCAUCUUGCUUAUUGGUCUUCUAAGAGGCAUUGGCUGCACAUAUAACAUACAUAAUCAGAUAUCUAUGUGAGUGCCAUUUUGAAAAUAUGUUCAAAACAAUAACGAAGUAAAGUAAGAACACUAUAAAGUAAUAUAAACUAAUAAAUUUAUCAGCUAGCGUAUCAGUAAGAAUUAGUGCCUUCGAACUAGACAGGAAAACCGUCCUCCACUAACACGUAAGAAGAAGUGAUUUUUUAAAGAUGGUUAUAUUUGUCAUGUAUUGCAAGGGGAAUCUCCUAAGCAUUAAUCAACAAAUGUAUGUUGACCCUCUGUAGUUGUCUAACUAGCACAUACAAAAACCAUAUAGAAUGAUUCAAAUUUACCUUUCCCAUGAAAGGAUCAACAAUAUCAAAACGCUUGCACAGUAUUGGUGAAGGCCGCCAUUCAAACUCUUCCCUCUGUGGAUAUGCGGGCUUCUCAUCUCGGGGUACUACAGAGCUCUGCAUUUAUUUUUUAAAGAUCAAUAUGUGAAGAGAAGACAUGACAUUACUUACUGAUCGGCCCCAACAAAUUAACCUACCUCCAGUUGAGUAGAUGAUACAAAGCGUUGCUCGUUUAAUCCAGGUAAACCCAAUAUUGAGAAAGGAUCUAUAGCCUUAUAUUCUUUGCCUUUUUCAAUUGCAUCUGCAGCAGCCUCAAAAUCUAGUCUUUCACGAGCACGAUCAGCCUCCGACAUAGUACUCGUAGGUACAAGAUUUGCGAGACGAAGACCUCCCUGAUAUUUUUCCUUUAGAAAUUGCUCAAACCUUGCCUGCUUUGCAGGUUCAUUUCUAAAAGGCUUCUUUGACUCUGGCACGGCAUCCUAUUGCAAAGGAAGAAUAGUCCAUUUGCAUAACAAGAACAGGUUUAGCUAAUUAAUAUAAAAGAAUGUUGCGCUGAUGAGGACUGCAAAAUAAUUGGUAAAAACAAUGUGAUACAAAAACUUACAAGAGAUAUUGGCUUGACAAAGGUGUCACCAAGAUUUGAUUGUAGUUGAACAGCGUCCUUAGCAGAAAAGGAGGAGCUGGAUGAUUUUGAGCUUCUAUCAAGGGGCCUUUCACCAAGAAUCUUUCCACGAUUCUCAGCUGUCAACUUUUCAGAAGAUGGUUUCGACUUCACAAUAUCAGGCUUUUGCUGGUCAAUAAACUUCUGCUGAUGCUCCCAUAACUUCCUCGUAUAGUAGCCACAUCCAUCUCCUCCAUCAAGGAAAAGAAACUGAGGGCUUGCUUUGCUUUUCUCCUUGUAGAAAUCCUCGAUACGUUUCCCGCAACGAGCAACCAUAGCAGCACAACCCUCAACUAAUAAUCUCAAGGUAGCGUCUUCUGGAGGAGGAACCUCGGGAGGAGCCAGAUCAGAAAACUUAUCAGCUGCCUGAAUUGGACUUGAGAACUUGUGAUGGCCAUCAAAGUCAGCUGGGAUCUCGGGAGGAUGAAAUCUGAAAAGUCAACAAUGUCACUAAAUCCCCAAAGGGAUACAGAAUAUAAAAUAUAGAUGAUAAAAUAUGGAGUAGUAAACCAAUUCACCUCAGAUGAGCUGUACUAUUAACAUAGUAUAUACAUAUAGAUGUGCUAACAGGUGGGACUGUAAAAGUUUUAAUUUAUUAGCUGAUGCACUAAACCAAAAUACAACGAUGUGGCCUUCGACAUGGCAAGACCCAUUGAUGAACUGAUGAAACCACUCAAAAUAGACUCAGCCCUCAGAAUGGUAAGAAUCCAUUUUGACAGUUAGCGCAUGUGUACCAAUUGGAAAAUUCCAUUUUAAACCCUGAUUUCUGGUGUGUGGUCCGAAUAAAACUAGAGCCUCUAAAUCCCUGAUCUUUCUACCCUGUACUUCAUAAUCCCGGCAAAUCCAGACAUUGGGUUUGUUUGGCGCACAGGACAGAGUAGAUCUGCCAUGACUCACUAACAUUCUGGCCACAUGUCAUAUUCAUCUUCUCCUUUCCUUUUCCCCGUCAAAUCUUACUUCCGCCUAUUUAUGCAUUAAAAGUUUGGUAUAAAACUCGAUAAAAAAAAACCAAUUCAUGUGCACAGGAAAGAGUAGAUCCACCAUGACUCUCACUGACUUCUGAAUUAGUCGUGUCAUAUAAAUCUCUGGAACUUCCACAAGAGAAGUUUGGCACCAAUAGAUGGAACUUGACCAUUAUGCAACAGGUUUCCAAAGCACAAUACAAUUAGCAAAAUAAAAAGUAACAUCAUGACAACAUGUGGAAAGACAAAGAGUCAAACAAGUUAUACUUCCAAACGUGAAUCAAGUAAUGGAUACAAAAACAAAGUAUUGCAUGAACAUUAAUCAAUUAUGAACUGAAGAGAAAUGUUACCUUUCAAGUUUGUACUCGGAAUUCAGGGCCAUUUUGAAGGUCAGGAAGACACCUCUCCUCCUGUCUUCAAGUUUAAACUUACUAUCACCAAUUGUUUUUGAAGGCUCGAUAUCCACUUCCGUUUGUUCAUAAGAAAAACCUGAAAAAACUAAUGUUAGGAUUAUAAAAAUUUAGAGGGUAAAUCUGUUUUAAAAAAAGAUAGAAUCUUCAAACAGUGAAACAACAAGCCUAUUAAAUCUCGUGAAGUUGAAUAUGCAGUUGCACAACUGCAAAGGCUUCCAUUCGAGAAAACAAAUCUUCGCAGAAAAAUAGAUUUCCUCAUGAGAGGAAUAACCAAUGUAUGUUCAGAAUCUGCCAUAACCCACUGCUGCACUUCAAGACUGACGCACCCAACAUAUGCUUCCAUCAAGCCCCCCACAUUAAUACUGUUUAAACUGACCAGAAUAUUAUUCAUUUACCUGAUGCAUAAAUAUCCUCAUCUUCAACAUCAAGCUCUUCGAGUGCUCCAAUUCCAAAGCCAGGAGCAUAUUGUCCUGCUGAUGAUCGAACCACUAGUUAAGACUUUUGUCGCAAGUAUGUUUAAGAAAUAUCGACAAAACAAACAGUAUGAAAGGACCAUGACUAUCAUACAGUUCGAAAGCAGGAGAUUUCCCCUCAUUGAAAUAUCACUUCUGUUGCCGUCCCUGUUAAGUGACUUCUGCAAUCUUUUCCUAUCUGCAAAAGUAAUAAAUGUGGUUUAAGCAGUGAAAAAAAAUCAAAUGAUUAUCUUUGUCGAAAUAUGGUACCUUUAAACUCAGGAGCAUGCUUGAAUGGGUCAAAACCUAAACCAUGUAAAUCUUCUUUUGGAUGAAGUACAUAUACCUAAUGUUAAUGGAAAAUCAGGCGAUCAGCUGAUGUUUUCUUCAUGUGUAUUGCAAAUGUACCAUGCAACCACAAAUAUGAAACUUGUUAGUAUUUGCAUGCACAAUUUUGAGCAACAACAAACAACUACUGACAGCAUGACUCAUGGGAUGCAAGGCAUAGUUUUGAAUACGGCAUGGCAAGUUGCGGCGACCCACCCCCUGCACAGCUUUAUAACGCUUGCGGCGUGCGGCGUUGCGACUUCACAGAAAUAUACUAGCCUAUAAUGGCACCGUAUAAAUCACCAAUUUAGUACAUAUGUAUAUCUUGAUUAAUUUUCACAGAAAUAUAAUAGCCUAUAAUGUCACCAUAUAAAAUUAUAGCACAAAGUCACCAUUAAUUUCUAACGAUACCUAACAAAUUAUAGCAGAACUAUAAUCUAUAAGCAGAACCGAGCAGGGAGGAACAAAGUAGACGGAGCAAGAGAGAGAUGAACAGAACAGAGUAGCGAGAGGGAGAGAGAGGGGCCGAACAAAGCGGCGAUGGGUGUUGGAGCUGCUGGCGAGGGGAUGGAGCCACUGGCGAUGAGGGUUGGACUUGGACCGCUGGCGAUCGUGGAUGGAGCCGCUGGUGAUGGGAGAUGGAUCCGCCGGCGAUGGGGGAUGCAGGUCAUUCGAUCGAUUCCCUCUCCUCUCUCUUUCUCCCUCCGCGCGGACUGGUUUCCCCCCCCCCCAAAUUUCUCAGUCCAUUCCCUAUUUCCCUCUCCUCUCUCUUCCUCCUUCCCGCGCGCGCCUGCAAUUUCUCCUUCCCGCCUGCUUUUUCUUCCGCACGCCUGACAUUUUCUUCCGCCCGCGCCUGACAGUUCUCCUGCCUGCGCCUGCUCUGCCUAUUCGGUUGUGUAGCGUCGUAUUUCAACCGCUACUGCAUCUGUACCGUCCACGGACGCCAUCUCGACGCCACAGGACGCGACCGAGACGCCACAGGCCAUUUUUAUCGCGUGGGUCGACGCGACCGAGGCCAGGGGCGCCACGACGUUGUAGCGUCGUUAUGGUGACGAGAUGGCGACGUAUUAAAAACUAUGAUGCAAAGUUCUCUCCCCAGCCAAGUGAAGCAGAAAAACUAAAAACUGAGAACCCCUCCAGAGCUAGACCCAACCAAUGGCAUAAUUAGAGAGCGAUUGUGGUUCAUGGCAAUGCAUGUCCUACCGAUUUUUGCCAAAAAAUUGGCUAGCCAAAAAAUUUGCUAGGGAUGCCAUGGCCCUUGGUUCGCCAAAAUUUUGGCUAGAAAUUUGUAGGGAGAACCAAAAUAGCGUACAUUUCGAGUGGCAAAAAAAAAAACUGUUCUCUUAACUAAAAUGUUUGAGAACAUUCACUGCCUGCACUAUAUGCACCUUGCACAUAAUCCAGCCAACCAAACAACGUUUCACAUAUGCAAGCUGACCCAAAAGCAGGAAACCAACCAAAAUCAGUCUUAGACACUAAUCCAUAUGUCUUCUAUAGUUCUCCUUAGAAGAGCAGUGUUCAUAAACAAUUAAACAAGCAAACAUAUCGGCUUGAACAUAUAAUGCAGAAAGUUACACUUGUCCUACUUACGGGGGUAUUUCCAGAAGCACGUAUUUUGUCAAAUGACUCUGCAACAUUUUCAUCCAUCCUAGAUGUAUGAGAAGCAAUUUGAUCUUGGUCCUCAACAUUACUAAUACCAGAGAGUGCAAGAAAGGCUUUCCUAGCUUCCCUGCGUGAUUCUGCAUGCAUAUAUCAACAAUCAAUAAUUAGAGAACAGGACACCAGCAAUUUCAAACAAUCAGACCACUAUUUGAGAAGCAAAACAAAAUUUAAACAAAUAAUACUUCUGGACUAAGAUAAUUUAUGACUCAAAUAUUCCGCAGCAGACACAACAGGUCAUUCAUGGCUGUAGUAACUAGUAACCACACGUUCUAACUAAACGAUAUGUUACAAUGGUUGAAUUUAUGAAAAACUUGGUCCAUAUAUCAAUCGCGUGUUCUGACUAAAUGAUAGCCUGCACUUUGAAUAAGGAUGGUUGAAUUUAUGAAAAACUAUUGAAGGCGACAUGGGACAGUUGUCCCGUAUAUCAGCUAUGAAAUGCUUUAGAUUCAUAAUGCAUACCAUACAAGGAGUCAGCAUGUGCAUCCUUGAUGGUACGACCUUGGCGCCAGCCCAUUUUCAUCAGUAAUUUCACACCUGCUCAAAUUAUGUCAAGAUAUUACUUUUAUCUGAAAAUACAUAUAAUGAUGCACAUCUGGAAGAGAUAAGGAACAGAGAAACAAACCAAUCGAGGUUGUGCCAGGGACCACUAAUUCAUCCGGAACAGGUCCAGGAAUAGCUGAUGGUCUGCAUACAGGUAUGUGACAAUCUAACAAUUAGUACUUCUGCAUCAAUGAGAAAGCCAAUUCAAAUUGAGUAGCGAGCACACUAAGCUUAGCUUUUUAUUUGAUUAAAUAUCAUGAAACCCCAACAAUUGGGGGGUAUCAAAUAACCAUAACUUUAAAAAAAAUAAAUCAAAUAACCACAACUAUUUGGCUCACUAGUACUAUGAACCCAAAUUGUGAGAUUUCGGGCCUUCAACAGCAAAAACUAACCGUUUGGGCCCACUGGUCAGUCACUAUGUGGCCAAAAACCCGGAGACAGUUGCUUUCCACCCAAACUGUGCUGAACCAGCCUGAACCUAGAGUAAAUAUCAAGGAACCACAACACCGGGAGUUCCAGUUCCAGAAAACCAUAACAUAGUUUCCACUGGUUGAAUAUUUUGCCUUACUGUAGGGCUUUUUAAGCUCGACUCUCUUUUCUGGUCGAUCAUAUGCGAUUUAAUAUUCCCUCCGAUCCAUAAUAAGUGUCUCAGAUUUUGUACUAACUUAGUACAAAGUUGUACUAAAUCUGAGACACUUAUCAUGGAUAGGAGGGAGUAGAAAACAAUUAUGGUGUAUGAUGAAUACAUAUGGGGAUGGGAAUGGGCAUAUUUACAAAAGGAGAACAUAACUGUCAAAAACACAUGAUAAUAUAUAAUAUAAGUGUUUGCUCGGUACUCGAUGAACCACUUGAACUUUAAAUAAUCUUUUCAAUAGAGCAAAAUAAAUUUGUUAAAAAGAUGAAUAGAAAUUAAUUUUAUAUGACAACAAAACAUUUUUCAUAUUGUGUUUAUUUAAAACUAAAAGCCCGUUGUUGUGGUUCCUUGAUAUUUACUCCGAGUUCAGGCCGGUUCAGACAUUUCGGGGUGGAGCAACUGUCUCCAGGUUUUUUGUCCACAUGGCGACUGAUCGGUGGGCCCAACCGGUCAGUUUUGUUGACAAAGGCCCCAAACCUCAAAAUUUGGGAUCUCCGUUCAUAAUUAGCGAAAUAGUUGUUUUCAUCUGAGAUAAAUUGUAAGUUGUGGUUAUCUGAUACCAAAUCCAACUGUUGGGGUUUAAUGAUAUUUACUCGUAUAUUUUAAAAGGCAAGCUUACGGACAAAAUAGAUAGAUAAAGACAAGUAAUACUACAAGUUGAAGUUUAUAUAGCUAGAUAGGCACAUCAGGCCUCGUACAAUGGCCUGACAGCAUACUUCCCGUAGCAAUGCCACGCAGGAUAAUUGCUGACAUGGAAGAGAGUGAUGAAAAAAGAGGCAUGCCUUUCUCUUAACCAAGAGAUGAUCGAUCUCUCAUCGCUCAUCGGAAGUCAUUUUUCUUCAUUUGUACUAUGUCAUUUCUUAGUCACAGACUUCCUAAUUAAAUUUAAAUCACGACAUACUUUUUAGAGGCGUGCAAACAUUAAUUGCUAGAAAUCAUACUAAGAGGUAACUUAUUAUAUACUCCGUAUUUGCAUAGAAUGUUUUGUUGUCAUCUCUAGAUGGCAUGUAGGAUAAGAGAAGACUGCCUUCUCAACAACUGUACAUGCCCUUAAUGCUUCGGUGCAAAUAAAAGUAGAGAUGGCGGUUAGAAGAAAAGUUGAUUAACAGUGAGUUAGGCUAACUUCCACCCAUUAACACAACAAGUUCAGGCAUGUUUGUCUUUCAUGAUAAUUGUAUGGUUCGCUACUUUAGCUUGGGCACACCGAAGUUACUUACUAUCUGACUGACCCCUCAUAGACACAAUCGUUGGACAAGAAACAUUCCUAAUAUGUGACAACAAUUUGGUUGCCACAGCAAAGAAGCAUGGGUUGCCACAGUUUACCAAAUCUACAUCGAUGAAGUGUGGUAGCCAAUGAAACAUCAGCCAAGCUCUACAGCAUGAUGGUUAUAGAAUAAUAGCACAUAAUGUAAAGAUGCUAACCUCUCGCUCUGUUCCUUCGAUGCUUGUUUUCGAGCGUGUUCUGCAGCAGUAAAACCAAAUGUAUCAUACUGUUGAGAUGUUUCCAAGGCGUUACCUCCCAUAUCCUGUGAUUAGAGCUUGGAACUGUCAACAGAUUAAUUCAUAUUUUCAUGGAACAGAUUCAUUCCGAUAAAAAACUUGAAUACCAUCAAAGCCUUGGAGGUCAAGGUGAGUCAAAUACGUAAACAUUGAGAGUGGAUCAAGAAGCAGCAAUACAUGCUGGUCAAGCUUUAGAGUUUACACUUUUUUUACAUUCAAGAAACAAUGAAGACAGUUUAUGAGGACAAUUAUUGUUUGCUUCUCUGAUAGGCAUCAUCUAGACUACAUAUGCUUUUACUGCAAGCAUUUCCAGACAGAUGCACGGUGUUACAAGUUAAUUAAUUGGUGUCUACUCAAAGCUGAGUAACAUGCUUGCCCAUGCUCAUAGUUAUCUUUAUCUUUACACUUAUAAAGAUUCGAGUUGGUGGUUGUCAAUUCACCCUAUCGAGACUACUCCCUAGCCUGUUAGAUAAUCACUUGAUUGCCACCCAUUCAAUGUGAUAUAGAUAUAUAUAUCAAAAUCUUUUGAUUGUAGUUGAUGUGGUUUGAUGUAUACUUUUGAGAUAAUUGUUUUCUCAAAUAAAUAUUUUGAGAGAAUUCCUAUUUAGCAUGAAGUUGGAAAAUAUGCAUAAGAGCAUCUCCACCAGCUUCCCUAUAAUUGGUUACCUAAAACCAGUUAUAGGGAUACGUGAGAGAAGAAGUUGGUCAAGUUUUUUGCCUCUUCUCCUUCUCCACCAGCUUACCUAUCCCCAUUCCCUAUUUUCUUCUAUACCUCUCUAUGACACAUGGGACCCACCCGUCAUUGAGACAACAUAAAUCCCCAAUGCCUUCUUCCUCCAAGCCCUAUACUUGCGCCCGCUGCUGCCUCCGCGAUGCGCCGCCUCUGCCUCCUUGCUGCGCAGCUCCCUCCGCACCUGGCCACGAGAGCCCGCCGCCGCGCCCCGCCACGGGAUCCCACGGCCGCGCCCCGCCGCACGAGCUCUCCGCCCCACCGCACCUGUGCCCCACCACGGGAGCCCGCCGCCACGCCCCGCCUGUUGCUCGAAGCUCACGCCCGCAGCUCGCCCGAGGAAGAUUUGGAGGCGCAGCCGAUGCCUGAGUCUGGAGGCGGCGAUGCGCGAGGGGAGCUCGAAUCCGGCCGUCUUGGGCACGAUUCCGCCCGCCACGAGCACGAUUCCGCCCGCCGCGGGAUUAUUCCGGCCGCCGCGGGCUUGAAUUUGGAGAACCUCGUAGCCGGGGAAAGUUCCGCCCAAGCAGUUGGCUCUCCCACCAGCGUGUCCCAGUUUUAGGUAAUGGACUUUUGGUUACCUAUAUUUGAGUAUAGGAGACAGAAAAUAUGGGUAACUACCUAAAAAUAUAGGGAUAGGUCAUAGGUAAGCAUAUAGCUAAGCUGGUGGAGGUGUUUUUUGAGUCCCAUUUGGUAUAAAAGCAGUUUUUAGUUAUAGGUAACCAAUUUGAGUAAGCUGGUGGAGAUGCUCUAAGUAUUUAAAAUAACUCAUGCAUGUAAUAUAUAAUUUUAAUUCCGUAGCAACGCAAGUGCAUUUAUCCUAUACUGACAAAGUUUUGCACAUCACGAAUAUUGAGAUCCUGUCCUUUAUCAUUGAAUUAUACUCCAAGCCAUGGAGCAAUUUUGUGCACAAGCAAAAAAAUUAUCUUAGCACUGAAAAAAAAACUGAAAACCAAAGCGUUUUCAUUUUAACUGUUUCUUCCUCACUAGAAAACUAGAACAUGAUGUGUUUGUCAUAGCACUGAAAAAAUAAAACGUUAAGCAGUCUAAGUUGAAGUACCUUAAUUCGAAAUAUAACAUAACAGUAUGUAAUCACUGCAAAUCAUGAACCAGAUUUAACUUUCCAUACAACAAUGUGACCAACAGAAAGAAAGAAGACAAAGACAUACCUUGAUAUCUUCCUCAUCAAGAAAAUUAUAUAUGCUUUGCUUUUUAUGCUCGGCUCUACUUUUUCGUGACGAUGUAAAUGUCUGCGGCGUCCAUCCUGAAGUAAACCAUAGUAUUUACAACACCAUCCAUUUCUUCAGUGGCAAAGUCACAAAUUAGAAUCACAAGCUUCAGAAAUUAUACCCUCUUUUGAGCCAGCAGUAUUGUAAAAGCCAGCAGAGAAGCCUCCAGUGAAUGCACCAUGAAAUCUUCUCCGCCCUUCCUCAUCCCUCACCUACAAUCCGAUUACCAUUUCAUUUUUAGUAAACAAAGAAGAGUAUUAUUACUUCAAGGAAACCAUAUGCUACAAAACUUAACAGUAACGGCAAUAGAAGAGAAAGUCCAAAUGCCCAAUACAUUGGUAACAAAAGAAGGAAAACUAAAAAGAAAUAGCUCGCUCCACACAGUUCCGCCACGAACCCUAAAUUAAAGAACAUUUUUGCAGCAUCCCUGAAUGCAACAAACGCCAUUAAAGAAGUUAAAUGGCUUCUAAAACCCUAAAUUGGAACAAACUCAACAGCUCACUUUCCCUGAUAGAGCAACAUGUAUACACUAACUUAGAUAGUGACCAUAGCUCAGCUUAUCAACAUCCAACACGCCAUGAGUCACCCUCGUAUGAGGUAAGCAUAUCUCUCUUUAUUCUAAUAUAUCGACUCCUAGAGUAGCAUCGAUAUUAAGCCACGUCAUCUCUGAAACAAUAGCCAUCAGAUAAAACCUAACAAUAAAUCUUAGACCUUGGAUCAUAAAUUGCCAAAAGGUGUCUACAAGAAGAGACAACUUUCGGAUUGGAUGGAAGUUGGUUUAACCAUACAGUGAUGGAAAAAGAUGCUAGCAUACAACUGCCUGGCACUUCAGCUUGGAGGACAGAGUCGUGUUUGAGAUGUAAACAACAGCAUGUCGGACGAGAUCGUGGUGGCAGUGGUGCAGGUGCAUGAGAUCUCCAGCCACUCGGGCAAGAGGAGCUUCCCUGAGUUCUUUAGCUCUAUAACAUGCAAGGCAUCAUUGUGGAGCGCAAAUCAUUGGUGCAUUCCCUGAGUGCUCUUGUUCUAUAAUGUGCAAGGCAUCACUGUGGAGCGUAAAUCGUGGGUGUGUUCUUCCAGGUGGCAAGUCGGUAAGUUUGACUUUGAUCAGAGAAGAGUAGUUAUUUUUUCUUGUAGCAAUGCUACACAAGGCACCGACAAUGUGGGUCAAACACCUUUACUAUGAAUCUUGGCUGAGGAACAGUUGCGAUCAAUUUCCCUAUGAUCUUGCGGAAAUGAGAUUUACUUCAUGUUUUAAGAGGCUUUGAUUGCACGUACUAAUCAAGCUCUAUGACAACAGAGAGCAAUUGUCAAAUUUCGUGGGAAUAAAAUACAUUCAACACAUAAAUUGCCGUUACCACGGUGAACUUGAAUAGAAACACAAUUACAGAAUGAACAAUUAUGUUUGCAUAUUACUGUAUAGUGGCAAGAAGUAAUUAGUAGAUACUCCAACUUUUGCACCCUACAUCUAUAUUACUAUACCUCAGUGUGUACUGCAGGAGCAGAUUCCAUAACCUUAAGCAAGUGGAUUAAAACUAAAGCUAAAACUAAUUUUGAAUAAAUAUCCUACAUCUUGAAUUAUAUACUCCGUAGAAUGAUAUCGUAACUCAAUGGCUUAGCAGGCAUGGGCAUGACACUACUAUGUUGAUAAUAGUGGCAGAGAGAACGAGAGGGAGGGACCUCCUGCUUCCAGGCGGGGAGAGCACGGAGCUGGCCCGCAUCGGCGACGGCCCGGCGCUUGCGGGCCGAGAUGUCCUCCUCCCGCUCGAUCGGCGUCCCGUAGACCACAAGAUCUUGGUCGUCGUCGUCGAAAGCCAUGGCAGAGGGAGACGCGGCGCCGGAGCCCUAGCGCCGAAGCUGGGUAGACGAUUGGCGAAAGCGAGACGUUGGUAGAAAGGCAAGUGGACCAGGGAUACGGCGGGGAAACCCUAGCAGAGGAGACGUUGAUAGAGAGACAAGUGGGCCAGGGGAUUCAGAGGCAGAGGGGAUGGAGCGAGAGGAGCGGAGGGCGGCGGAGGUAAGACUGGGGACGGCGGCGGGCGCCGGUAGAGGAGGAGGAGCGCGCGGCGGCGAGCGGCUGCGGGGGACCGGCGGCAGAGGCUGCGGGAGGAGAGAUUGCGACGCUGCGCCCAAAAAUAAAAGGACUCUGCUACAGUACCCCGAAAUUAAUAUAACCCGUCCAUUUGUUUUGAUCGGUCCAGAUUAACUGCUACUACUCGAUACUCCGAUCGGGAUGCCUGGAGUAUUAUCAAGAUGGAGUGUCAAGAAGUCCAAUAGCCUCCCUACUUCACCCCCUAUCCUCAAAUUUAGGUUUUCUCGACACAAAACAGUCUCCAGCAGAGCCUCCUUCUCCCUCCCGAAACUGAGACGGCCCCGAUACUUCCCUCCCGACGACCCAAACUGAGCGCCCCGGUAGGGGAUCCCGAAAGCAACCGUCGGACGCGGAAUCCGCCUCUUCGCGUGCAGGUUCUUCUUCCUUUCCCUUCCCUCCCUUCCCUGUUGUACAUUGCAUGCGGCGGUCGGCGAUUUGGUUGGGCGGCGGAUGGGGAUUCCGGCGGCUGUGGCCGAGGCAGGGGAGGCCGGGGGCGCUGCGGGGCGGGAUGGGGUGGCCGGCGGCGCGGGGUGGGGAGGCCGGCGGCGCUUGGGGUCGGGAACUUGGGAUGGGGAGGGAUGGGACGGCGGCGGUGGUGGGCGGGAUGGGGAGGAGCGGCGCUGCGGGGCGGGAUGGGGAGGCCGGCAGCGGUGGGUGGGAUGGGGAGGGAUGGGGCGGCGGCGGCGGUGGGCGGGAUAGGGAGGGCGGCGGCGGUGGGCGGGAUGGGGAGGGAUGGGCCGGCUAGGUCAAAGGAGGGGAGGGCGUCCGGUGCUGCUUUCGGCCGGUGCUGCUCCCGGCCGCAUGGGCACUCGCCAGAAGAGGAGGAGGGGAGGGCGCUGGUUCCAUGGUUUGGACUGCAGAGAGAAGAGUAGAAUUUCUAUACAUAUAAUGUAGAUGCAAAUUGGUAGAUCAAUUUAGUUGUUUUUUCAUGAAAUCAGAUCAUACAAUUGUGACUAAAUUGCUUAUAAUUUUUUAGUGUGUUUCAAUGGAAAGCUAGAGACCUUUGUUGUUGUUUCAUGAGAGCAGUUCAUACACUUGUGAUAGAAGGAAGACAGAGAGGUGAGAAUCUUGUGCAGAUUGAUGGGUGUUAGAAAUAUUUGUACAUCAAUUUUAUAGAAAUGUAGAUGUAGAUUAGUAGAUCAAUUUUGUUGUUUCAUGAGAGCAGAUCAUACAGUUCUGAUUAAAUUUCCUAAAAUAUUUUUAGGGUGUUUCGAUGGAUAGCCAAGAUAGUUCCAUGGGUUUGUACACAAAUUUGUUGAGUGAAGGAUAUAUUGAGGAAGCUUGGGGCGAAAAUUUGAGCAAUCAAUUUGGAGCACAGCCAAUGCAAGCUGAAGUUCCUACUCCUCCAGUAAAAGUAAAUAACAAGAGGAAAGGAAAUUUCAGUGACAAAGAAGAUGAAGUGUUGGUGGCUGCAUGGUUGCAUGCUAGUAUGGAUCCAAUAGUAGGUGCUAAGCAAAAGAGUGCGACUUAUUGGAAUAGGAUCCAUGAGGAGUAUGAAUUGCACAAGCCAGAAGGAAGUGACCGCAGUGUCAAUUCCUUAUCACAUCGUUGGUCCGUUCUGAAAGAACAAGUGGGUAGGUUUUGUGGAUGCUACGAUCAAAUUAUGCAUAGGCACGAAAGCGGGAAGACAGAACAAGAUAAGGUAGUUCACCUAGUCGUUUAAUUUCAUUGUAUAUUCAUAUGUUUUUUGCCAAUAUACUAAGACCUAUUCACUUGUGCAGAUUGUUGAUGCUCUCAAAUUGUUCAAGUCACUAGAUAAGACCCAUAAAGGGUUUGUGCUACUGCAUUGUUGGAACAUGAUGCGUUUCGAACAAAAGUGGUUGGCUCAAACUGAUAGGUCAUCUCAAAGUAAUAAAAAACAGAAGUCAAGCUCAAAUGCAAGUCCGAGUAUGUCUACUCAUGAAACCAACACGGUCCAUAUUGAUGACUUUGAAGCUACAUCUCCGGCCAAAGCGGAUCACAUGAAGAGACCUAUUGGGAAGAAGGCGGAGAAAGUGUGGCAACGUCGAGGUAAAAAUGUUACCUCUUCAGAUGAUAGUAAUGUUGUCAUGGCAUUGGAUCUUGUGUUUUCAAAGGGGGAGGCAAGGGAGAUGGCAAGAGAAACAGCAAGACAAGCAAGAGAGAAUGCAAGAGAGGCAUCAAAGAAAGAGCGUUAUGAAGGAGCACUUGCAAUGGAGCAAAAGAAGAUUGAAAUUGAGGAAAGGAAGAUGGAAAUGGAAAUCAUGAACAAGGACCUUAGUUCUUUGGAUGAUGAUCAAAAAGAAUACUACAGGAUGUUACGGCGUGAUAUCAUUGACCGACGAUCUAAAAGAUCGAUUUGAGGUCUAUGGAUUAUGUUGUUGUACGAACUAUUUGAGGUUUAUGUUAUAUGAACUAUUUGAGGUCUAUAGAUUAUGUUGUUGUAUGAACUAUUUGAGGUUUAUGUUGUUGUAUGAACUAUUUGAGGUCUGUGGAUUAUGUUGUUGUAUGAACUAUUUGAGGUUUAUGUUGUUGUAUGAACUAUUCGAGGUCUAUGGAUUAUGUUGUUGUAUUUACUAUUGAGGUCCAUGGACUAAUUCAUUAAAGUAGUUGCAUACAUUACCAUACAUAAUAUUACAUCCCUCCAUAAUGUAAAAACAGUACAUGCUAAAUAGAUCAGGUCGGCAGGGUAACCUUCUUCGGGACAAAACCUUUCCGAUUUAGAUCCUAACUCUAACUAGGUAAGUUGCGCACUACAUUGCCCCAUAAAUUUGCCAUAGGUGCUCAACCAGGUCAUCUUUCAGUUGAGAGUGGACUUGUGCGUUGCGGAUGUCAAGAUGAUUCUGAAUGAAGUUCGAGAAUUCAGCCGUCUAUGUAUGAGAGGGAAUAACCUUUUCUCCCAUGUUGUCGUAAUUGUAGUCUUGUGGACCUUCGUCUCGCUCGUCUUCAACUAUCAUGUUAUGCAUGAUAACACAAGCUGUGAUGAUAUCAUGGAGUACUUCUUCAUCCCGCAGUCUUGCUGGUCCACGAACAAUUGCAAAACGAGCUUGAAGAACUCCAAAUGCUCAUUCCACAUCCUUCCUAUGUGCUUCUUGACAUUUUGCAAAAUAUUUAUUCUUUUGCCCUAGUGGAGAGGGUAUUGUCUUAACCAAUGUUGCCCACUGUGGGUAUAUGCCAUCGGCAAGGUAGUACCCCAUUGUAUAAUUGUUACCAUUUACUGUAUAAUUUACCUGUGGAGCUUGCCCUUCUGCUAGCCUCGUGAAGAUAGGGGAACGGUGAAGAACAUUGAUGUCAUUAAGAGAGCCUGGUAAACCAAAGAAGGCAUGCCAAAUCCAAAGAUCCUGUGAAGCAACAGCUUCCAGAAUGAUUGUGGGCUCGCGCACAUGGCCAGUAUACAUACCUUGCCAUGAAGAAGGGCAAUUUUUCCACCCCCAAUGUAUGCAGUCGAUGCUCCCUAGCAUUCCAGGGAACCCUCUGCUCUCUCCAAUUGCAAGCAAUCUAGCAGUAUCGGCAUCAUUUGGAGAUCUAAGAUACUCAUCUCCGAAAACUUCAAUAACAGCUCUAACAAAUGCUUUCAUACUAUCUAAAGCAGUACUUUUUUCAAUCCAAACGUACUCAUCUGUAGCAUCCGCUGCUACACCAUAAGUCAACAUUCGAAACACUGCAGUAGCCUUCUGAAGAGAUGAUAACCCAAGUUUUCCAGCAGCAUUUCUUUUCUGCACAAAAUAGCUAUCGUGUUCCUGCACAGCUUUCACUAUGCGAAAAAACAACGGCCGAGCCAUUCGAAACAUGUGAGAACAAAGGUAAUUAGUUGUACACUAGAUGAACAAUAAAAAUGCAAAUAAAAACCAUAUAUAAGCAUUGCAUACCUUCGGCGAAAAUACGAGGGGCCAUAGACAGGAUGCUGCGCGAAGUAGUCUUCAAAUAAUCUACCAUGCCCAGCUACCCUAUCGCGGUUAAUUACCUGACGACCCGACACAGAACCGCCACGGCGUCGAGCAUUGAAUCGCAUGUUUCCGUUCAGAACUAUGGCCGCUGUAGCAACCAUUAGUUCAUGGCCGUCAUCUUCAUACUCCUCCUCCUCCGACGACGAUGAACUCACGUAUUGCAAAAGUGUGCUACGACGCAUUUUGUGAGAGGAGGCUGAGAGAUGUGGCAGAGAGUGAAUGAACAAUGCUUCAGAGCUCCACAUAUAUAUAGACCAAGAAAUAUAGCCGUUGGAAAUAUAACCGUUCAAAAUAUAGCCGUUUGGAAAAGAGCCGUUGAGAAAAUAGACAUUGUAAAAAAUCCGUUGCAACAUAUUCAUUUAAUUAAAAAAUUCACAUAAUUAAAUUAUAAUAUUAUAGUUUAUUUAAUAAUUGGAUAUAAAUAAAAUACAACUAUUAAAUUUAAAUUAUAAGCGUUUCAAAUGCAAAAUUUCAAUUCAAGUCGUUUGAAAUAUAGAUGUUUGCAAAAACGGUUGAUGGAUAUGAAUAAAAUAUGGAAGAAUGAAUUAUAGGGGCUGAGAUUUGAGUAGUCUGAGGAGAUGAGAAAUUUGAGGAGAGAAUCUUGUUUAGGGAAUCCCCGUAUAGAGAUUUGAGGGUUCAAAUUUGAGUAGUCUGCUGGACUUGCUCUAAAGGGUAAAAACGUUAACUUGACCUGACCGUGGAGAGGCUCACCGGGCGACUCAGCCGUCAGCACGCGAGCCGGCAACCACACAACACCCUCCGCCGACUCUCUCUCUCUCUCUCUCUCUCUCUCCUGCGCGGCCCAGGCGUCCAGCCCACGGUGGCGGAGAGCCUCCUGUUCGUCCUCCCCCCUGCUCUCUCCUCUCCUCCCCAUCGACCUCCCGCGGAUUCCUACCGAUCUGGUGCAACGGAUCGAUCGCUUGGCAUGGCGCCUGCGCGUGCGGCAACACGACCUCACGUGCGAGGGCAGGGAGGAGCUCGUGCGGUCCACCAUGAAGAACGGCGCCAUGGUGAAAAUUGCGUCGGAUGCUGCGGCCAUGGGGCAGACCAUGGAGCAGACCGGAUGGAACAUCAGGAAAAACAUCCAUCGCCCCCCUGCGGAGCUGAAUUUUCUGCACCAAAUCUGCGCCAUGUCUCUCCCCAAAAGAGCCUAAUUGGCUAAAAACAGGACGGCGGGGCGGACACCUGGGAGGAGGACGGCGGCGGCGCGGACUGGGGACGCCUCGGCGUGGACGCCUAAGAGGAAGACGCCGGCGCGGGUUGGGAGGAGGACGGCGGCGGCGCGGACUGGGGACGCCUCGGCGUGGAUGCCUAAGAGGAAGACGUCGGCGCGGGCUGGGAGGAAGACGCCGGCACAGACGCCUGGGAGGACGGCAGUGGCUCGUUGCGAUGGGAAGGGCUCGGUCGCGAUGGGGCGGACAGCGGCGGCUCGGUUGGUUGAUGCCUGGGAAGAGGCCGGCGGCGUAGCGACAGACGGGAAAGCUUGGGGAAAAUAUAUUUUUAAUUUUAUUAUUAAUGUGAAAAGUCCAAAAUAUCCUUUCCUAAUACUCCACUUACACUAAUAGAGUAUUAGGUACUAUAGAAUCUGCAAAAAAAGGAUGAUGAGGGAUGUCAAUGGGUACCUGUUACCCGCUUACCCAGCGGGUAAAUACCCACUAGGGCACGGGUUUGGACUAAAAACUUACCCACGGGUACGUAAAUGGGAAAAUUUCCGUACCCAUCCGGUAGAGCAGGUACCCAUACCCAUGUACCUGUUUACCCAUAUACUAACUAGUGUGUGUGUGAUCUUCACGGAGAAUACAGGCUCACAAUGUGCUGCAGUUUUUGUCAUGAUGUGUUGUUAUUUUUAAUGAUACAUUGUCUUUCUAUGUGUUGUUGUUGUUUAUAUUGUGGUGGUGUAGUGUUGUUUAUGACAAGAUUAUUGCUUUUUUCAGAAAAAUAUAUUGAUUCUAAGCAAUAUAUUGUUGUUUACGGCUAUGCGAUUAAAUUUUAACAUAUCUUUACCGCGGAUGCCAGUCUACCCUAACGGGUAACGGGUAUGGGAAAAAGUUGUACCCGUUGGCUGGUAUGGGUACGAGUAACGGCCAAGAUCCAAAGGAGCGGGUAAGAUCAAAAAGUGCGGGUGCCAUCCCUAGUGAUGCAUGCGUUUUCUUCAGAGGAUCAGAGGAUCAGAGCAUCUCCAUCAACUCCAGAAGAUCUUAAGGCCCCAAUAGCUAAAUUUAGGGGAUUUUGGCCUAAAAUCGGCCUCAAGCAGAACCCUCCCAUCCCCCAUAUCGACGAGCGCCCCAAAUCCAGGUCAGGAUCCCCCAUAUGGAGGAUCGAGCUUGGGAUCCCCUAUCCCUCAACCGCCGACGCUAAAGCAUCCCUCCCGCCGAAUCCUCCUCUCCGCCCAGUACGCGUCGUCACCAUCUUCUCCUUCUUUCUCCGCCUCUCUUCUCUGUUUGCUUCGCCGGAGUGGAGAUGCGGCCGGAUCUUGCAGAAGUUGGAGGGGCUUCGGUAGAGGAGGGGAGGGGUAGCUGGCGGGGAGGCGUUAGGCUGUGGGGUGAGGGGUCGUUGGCGGCCUAAGCAUGGGGGGGGGGGGGUGGCUGGCCAGCAGGGAGGAGGGAAGGGGCGCAGGGUGGCCAGAGGUGCUGCAGAUUGGGGAUUGGCCGGCGACGCUGCGGAUUGGGGAUUGGGACAGGUGCUGACUACUUGGGCAGGAGAUCGAUUGAGAAAAAUAGUUGUAGUAGUAUUGUACUAACUAAUGUCAUUUCUAAAUUGAAUUUUAUCUUUCGAAUGGUUUAGUGAAAUGCCAUGAAAUUUUAACAGUCAACUUAGAUUAGUGUUUAUGAUUUUGUGGCAAAGUUCUAAUUUUUUCUUAGAAGUUUGAAUUUUCGGGUUUAAAUUUGGCCGAAUUAACCAUUUAAAUUAAGUUGUUUGAAAUAUGUUUAUUCAGUAAAAAGAUCGAAAGAUAUGAAUAAAUUCGGGUAAGUUAUGUAUAGCCGUUAAAAAUAUAGCUGGUAUAGAACAGUUCGUAAUUUAUAAAGACUUUGUUAAUUUAAAUAUAAUAUUAGAGUUUAGUUAAAUAAUUAAUUAUGAAUAAAAUAAAGCAUUUUUAUUUCAAUUAUAUGCAUUUCAAAUAUCCGAUUUCAAAUCAACUCAUUUGAGAUAUUGAAGUUUAGAAAAUUGGUUGGAAAAUAUGAAUAUAAUAUACACAAGUUAAUUGUAGGGGGUGGAUUUUGGGGAAUCUGCCGAAGAGAAUUGAGAUUUGGGGGGGACAAAUGGGAUAGGGGAUACCCAUAUAUGAGAUUUGGGGAUGAGAUUUAGGGGAUCUCUUGAAGUUGCUUUAAAGCUAUCACAAAUGUCCUAUUUGGGGAUAUGGACAUUUUGCCCCCAAAAUCACCCCAAUGGCAUCCCCUAAACGGACAAAAUAUCAUGUUUGUUCGGACACAUCCCCCAUACUUGCCCCAAAUUUAGAGCAACUCCAAUGGGAUCCCCAAAUUUUGUCCCAAAAUGUCUUUUUUUUGGUUAUUUGGGGGAGCAAGUGGACAUGUGUCCUCAUGUCCGCCAUCAUCACCCAACCACACCCCCCCUCCCCAAAUUCCUCUCCAAAUUAGUUUUUCCUUCUCUUUAUCUUUUCUCCUCUCCUUUUCACCUUUUCUUAUCCUUUUCCCAUCUCAUGUUGUGGGGCUGGGGCAGACAAAAGGGAGCACAAGACAAUGUCCGGACACCCCAAGCCUCCCCCAAAUUUGGGCAAGUUUGGGGGAUUGUCCGGACAAACAUGACAUUUUGUCCGUUUAGGUUUAGCGGGUGCCAUUGGGAGAUGAUUUUAGGGGCAAAAUGUCCAUAUCCCCCAAAUAGGACAUUUGGGAUAGCUUUGGGGAUGCCAUUGGAGAUGGUCAGGGAGGUUUGGGGUGUCCGGACAUUGUCCGGUGCUCUCUUUUGUCCGCCUCGGCCCCACAACAAGAGAUGGGAAAAAGAGAAAAAAAAGUAAAAAGGAGAAGAGAAGGAUGAAGAGAAGGAUUUGGGAGAGGAAUUUGGGGGGUGUGGUUGGGUGAUGAGGGCUGACAUGGGGUGGACACAUGUCCACUUGCUCCAAAAAUUACCAAAAAAAGGACAGUUGGGGGCAAAAUUUGGUUUAUCCCAUUGGAGUGGCUCUUACUUGCGUUUUGGGACGCAGGAUCCAAGGGGUCUUUUGCAUCUCGGGUCGCGUUGGAUGCGGCAGGGCAACCAAGCAGAGCCAUUUUUUCGUCCCGGAUGCAGGCCAAAGCCCCAGUGGACAAUGCCCUUACAUUAUUGUCAGAAUUUUUUUAGUUAACGUAUAUGAGUGAAAUUGAGUAGUAAAAAAGAUCCAAAAUUCAAAUUAAGUAUAUAAUGAUAUUGUAUGAUAGAUUUUUAUUUUUAGACAUCAAAAAAGUUAAAAUGAUAUUUAAGAAUGGUACCAAAUGUUUAUCGGUUCACAAGUGAAUUUUUAGUUAAUAUUUAUCAUGUAGAGUAUAAUUUUAAACCUUAUAUACAAGGGAGCAAUCUAAAUGUUCUGAUGUUGACGAUUCUCUUUCUUAACGAAUGCCUUGGUGCUUCUAAAAUUUCACAAUUUUGUAAACAAAACUUACAAAAAUAGAGUGAUUAACUAUGUGUUAUAGGUUGAUUAGACAUAAAAAAAGUUUAUGGGAUAAACGAGUAUGCUUUUCAACAUUCUCAUAAUAGACACGAAGAUUCCAUGCGAGCCAUGGGUGUAUCUGGCACAAAAGUGUGAAUGGUCGGGUGACAGUCAUGCAUGAGUGCUACCAGGCGGGUAACUAAGCUAUAAAUAUUCUAAGAAAGGUGAGAAAUGAAUCAUGCGUCUCCAAAGGCACAAUGACACAAUCAAAACAUCCGAGAUGAGAAAGGGCUUGCAAAUAGAGCGGCUCAACAUUAGGCAAUGUACCUAUUGACUAGAGAAAAUUUGCCGGUAUAUAUAGGUCUGUGCUGCUUACAACUAACUAAAGUGGUGUGGUGGUAUCCUGUUCUUAUAUAACAUAUUUGUGUACAAAAGUUGCACGAAUGAAUAGCACCAUCUGCUCCUCCUUACUGAAUCAAUAAAGUGCUAUGCACAUUUGACAUGUUGAAUUUGACUUGCCCAUUUAGCAACUAUCACUCGUGCUAAAUAUUUUUUCAUAUCAAUUUUUUUGUGAGCACCACUUUUGUGGGCAUGCCACCGGCAUGCUUUUGGUGAGUUUUGCUGUGAAUUAUUUGGUUGUUCCCUUUUUUGUGCUUACUAUAUGAGAAGACAUGAACAAAGAAAAAGAGAUGUGUUUGUCCCACUAAACUAGAUGGGGUGAAAACUAACAUGUCUAUAUGGAGAUGUUAAGGUUUAAGCGAAAAGUGACUCAACCUAGUGAAGAAGUGUGUGAUGACAAUAAUGUUCGAUAAAAGAAAGUUCAAGCUUCUCCUAGAAAUGGCUUUCAUUUAUUGAACCAGGGGCAAUGAGAGGUGGAAGAGGAGUUCGCAUGGGUGAGGAUUGGGAGGAUGGGAGAAAAUGCAUGACCUUGAUGAUAAGGUAGUUACAGUUAAUGCAUGAGCUAUCAUGUAGCUAUGCUUAGCGAUCAUGGGAGGUAUGUGUUAAUUAGUCUGUAACGCAUCUGUAUUAAAAUACAUACGCGCUAACCCAUCCGCGCAUUCUCAUGUGGCUUCACAUUGCACAAUCAUUCUCUUAUACCUCCCCAUCCCCCCGUUCCUGCCCACAAGGACAAGAGAGAAACCAAGUUUCACAGAUUGAAAGAAUAGAAAAUAAGGGAGAUAGUGAUGGAGAAGAAGGUAGUAGUGGUGUGUCUGUUGGUCAGCAUCCUUAACCUCCUUUCUGUUGGACUUGCCUUUGCUGCUGAGAUGACUAAAAUAAAGGUAAAUAGUGAAAUUAUUUAUGCCUCCUAGUACGUGUUGUUUUAGUCAUCUUCUAAUCCACCAUAAAUGAUUUUAUCUUUCCAAGCAAGUUCAUUACACACUUUGUUUCUAGAAAACUAAUCUUGGCCAAUGGUAUACACUAAAAACAAUAAUUAAAUUUUGCCUAACCAGCUCAAAGAUAGCAAAUGUAUCAAGUAACGACAAGCUAUCUAUGGAGAACAAGAACCAAUAUUAUAGUAGUGGCUGGGAGGAUUAGGUGAUGCACAAUGACGCUGUGAUAAGGGGUGAGGUUGGAGAAGGCCACUUGCCUGGUGGAAUGAUGGUAGAAAGGGAAAAUGCUAUAUGAAAAUAGGCCGCAGAGCAAUUGCCAAAAGGUGAUGCAAUGUUGGACUAUUGGAACCCUAGGCGAUUAUGGAGUUGUGCUAUCCUAGUGGGCCGGGCCAGCUAGAACGGUAUAGUGCACCCAUGUCCAAUGUGGGUUGGGCCAAUAGCUAUCCUAAAAGCUAGGUUAGGAUAUCAAUCUUACCAAGCCUUGCGAGCUAGCCCUGACUUAGCUUGUUUGACCAUUGAGACAAGAGGGAGCCGGUGUGAGUAUAGCGCCAUCCUUCGGGAGAUUGGACUUCGUAGUAGAGAGUUCGUAGAUGUUAUUUGUGUUCAUGAAGCGAGAGCCUUUAAUUUAGAUGCUCAUAGUUUAGUGAAGAGUGUCCUUUCUCUUCAACACAGCCGCCAUAUUUGGCUCUCGAAGCCUUGGAACGAUGCAGUUGUACCCAUUUUGAUCGAUGAAUAAAGGCCGUGUUUUCCGCUGAAAAAAAGACCAUUGAGCCAAGAGGCACGGUACACAUGGAAAAGGUGGUGAACUCAUCCGUAGCUCAUCGUCGGAGCUCGUCAUUAAUUAUGCAUAAGACAAGGAGAGAUAGAGAGAUAUAGGGACAUUGAGGGAGAGAGGUAGAGAUAGAGGAUAAAAGGAAGGGAAGGGGUGUGGGUACGUGGAUUAGAGAAAAAAAAGAACUGGGAUGAGGGUGUUGACCACGGCACUAAUUAAGUCUUGAAUGCUCGAUACUUGACACCCUCAUCCCCAAACUUACAAAAGUAGGUUGUUUUACAUUGUGACGAUUCAUGAUGGGAAGAGCUUUUAUUCACCUUGUAUGAAGGUGGUUGCCCAUUUUGGAGGUAACAUCACCAAAAAAAAAAUUAUCUGUAAGUAUACGUAGCCAGUGUCUAAAAAUGUAUCACCAAAGAGAAAAUAUUGCUAUUAUCUUGGAAUGUGUAUCCACAUGGAUCUCACUAGGGAAACCUCAAUUUGUCUAUCAAGAUGCUAAGGCACCUUAAAUUAGAUCCCUAUCAUCAUGGCCACCCCCAAAUUGAUUGGAUAUGUAAAUUUACUUGGUUUUCUAGAUGCAAGAGUGGAUUGCUUUUCCAACUUUGUGAAGGUGGGUAAGCGUUGAUGCGCUAAGGGGACAAUUGGUCCAGCCCUCUCUUCAGUAUCAGCAUUCACACAAUCGGCUGACUCCAUCAAUGGUACAUGGUAUUCAGAGGUGAUGAAGUCAAUUACCAUGUCUCAUACACUGCACUUACACAUCUCUCCGUGCGUGUGUCAUUUGCUAGGAAACACACCGCUAAUCAUGAAUUUUUGGUAUGUACGAGCUAGAAAACCCCGUUGAUGUGUGUAUGCUGGCACGUCUGUGCCAUCUGCUAGCAAACAGUGCUAAUCAUGAUUUUUGUGUGUAUACGCCGGUGGGUGUGUACCAUUUGCUAGGAAAAACUGCUAAUCAUGAUUAAGCUCAUAAACAACAUAAUUAUCAUUUUCUAAUGAAAACUAGAACAGUUGAAAUGUAUUGAUUUAAAAUUAGGAGAUAGCGGACCUAUUUGCAUUUCGUUUCAUUCCUCACUCUCUCCCACAUAUCAAGUUGAGCCCACAUUUCCAUAAUCAAUGUGAGUCUGAUAUGUCUAGGCCUACCCCCUCACGGAUACAAAACAAUUCUGCUUAUGAUAUAACCGUCUGUGAAUCUUAUCUCCAUCGGUUACCGAUCUACGCAUCUGUUGUGAUAUUUUAGUUAUCAUUCUCUUGCAUGCAGACCUCUGGGAUAAUAAGAACGGAGAAUAAUCAAUGCUUGUACCCACACACUCCAGCUUCACUUUUGGGGAUGCUUUCAACUCUAUUUCUCCUAUCCAGUCAUCUCGGAAUCCAUACAGCAGCUGGAUACAUAUGUUCCAAGAGGCAGGGUAAUCGCUCCGACUCCGAAUGGACAGUAGGGUUAAUCUGCCAUGCCAUUUCCUGGUAAUCUUCUACUAUCUGCUUGGGAUACAUAUGAUGGUUCUUAGAAGGGUGGGCAAACUAAUGCAUGCCAUUCACGCGCACACGCAUAUAGGGUGGUGUUUGUACUUGCCGUCCUGUUGCUGCUCCAAGCCACGUCACUGAAUGACCAGAGGUGGAACGGCGCCGCGUCCACCAACAUCAUCUCCUUCUGCAAUGUCGCUGGCGAUGGGAUCUUCUCCAGUGGAGCGGUGCUGGGUCUUGUUAGCAACUUCUUCGGCAUGGUCUACUACCUCGUGACACGGCCCAUAAAUGGAAUUGUGCCUGUUGAGGAGGAACAAAUGCAUGGCAGCUUCUUCGAACCAGGCGACAUUGCGAUGGUCCAGUUGGAACCCCCACAGCCGGCAGCACUUGCCGCCGGCACAGGUGCCGUCGAGCAGCCCGCUGGUCUCCGUGCAUGAGGACACAUAAAACAUUGUCCAGUAAUCCAGUUCGCUUGAGUUGUGCAAUCGAGCCCUAUACCUGAAGCAGCUAAAUAUAACUUUCCCGGAAAAAAUGUAUGCAUUGUUCUCUGUGACAAUACUACAAUUGGAUAUGCCAUUAAAUCUCAAUAAUAUGUUUUUCUAGUACUGCAAUUUUUAGGAUCCCACUUUGCAAGGAGACUACGUGUGACAAACUUUUUGUGUGUGUAGGAUUACAAUUAAAAAUAAUUGUUUGUCUCCUUUGAGGCCCCACAUGAAUUUGCGUUGCCUCAGGGACGGCCCUGGCUAGCUCUAAGGAGCAACCGUUAUUAAUAGAGAUUAACUUUAGGCUUCAUUGGUGUUAGUAUUUGGGAAAAUGAAUUGAACUGGGAUGAAAUACCAAGUCAUCGAGGAAACUUAAUUGGCCCCUAAUUCUAAUUCUGCACGGGAGAUGGGGUGACAAGGAGGUUAGGGACGGCAGCGAGAUCCGACCGAGGUCUCUAAGGUGGUGGCAAACAAGCGGUGGGAUCCAGCCAAGAGGCUUGGUCGGCAGCAGAGCAUGGCAAGAGGACGGUGAUGUACUGAAUUAUCGCUCCUGCGUACGACAAAGGAUGUCUCAAGUUUUUUAAAAUUUAAAUAUAAUAUAUCUAGACAUGACUUAGUGUAUAAAUGCAUUCAAAUUUAUCAAAAUUGAGAUAUCCUUUGUUGGACGGAAAAAAUACAUUAACUGAAUAUGCUCUCUGUCAUAUAUGUCCUAUACUAAAUUAUCCAGAUAACUUGCUAACAAAAUCCUGAAUGUUCAUUCAGGUAGUGUAAAGACAUAUCCCGAAAUACCUAUGUCACGACAGGCCGAGUGGUGCGGUUGAUUUGACGUGUUGCACGCAUGGGGCUCACCUUCUCUUAUCUCUUCUCAUUCUUCUCCCUACCUUAGAAAACCUACGUUUACAUAGCUUCAAAACUCGUAGGGUGCCCAGUAAUUCCAUCUAUGUAUUCAGCCCCAUAAUAUAAACUUAGCAGGAAGUAGGGCUGUUACUCAAUCCAUGUGGACCUGAACCUGACUAAAUCCUGUUGUUCGUCUGUUUAGCACCCUAAGAUCCGUACUACAUAUAAACAAAUCAAAUCAUGUACUAGCAUAGUAUCCAAUCUAGGCGGUAGAGUUUCAUUCCUCCACAAAAGGUUUUUCACUUUUUCUAAAACUUCUUCGAGAUAUUUGAAAGUAGAAAACGGAAAAAUGCGGAAAAAACCAAAACUUGAAAACAAUGGCGAGGACAAAAAAAAUAAGCUGCUUCCAUCAGCCCAUUCUUAGACCGGCCGAAAUCAAUCAAUCGUGGUGUUCUAAACACACGGAGUACCGCCAAUUAGCGCCCAUGUAUCCAACUUGUUGAUUUAGAUCGAACAUGCAUAUAAUGCUUAUUGCACUAAAUCAUCCAUACUGAAGCUUUUAGCGGAAUGGAUCACCAUAGAUUAUCCUCUCUGAUUUCAGAUAUGUCCGUUGUUUCUUCUGAUUUUUUAGGCCUCUGUAGUACAGUCCACACGCACACAAACCACCUACUAUGUAAGCUAGAUCUACAAAUUAUACCUAACAGGCAUGCUCUAAUAGAUUCCCGAAGCCACUAGGCCCGUCACAUACACACACGCACGCAAACCACCUACUGCGUAACCUAGACCUACAAACUAACCUAACGUGCACGCUUUAAUAGAUUCCCAAAGCCACUGGAUCGGAUCUGUUUGUGACGGGUAACACGUCACACUAGUGGAAGCAUAGUUCAUAGCCGGUGGGACGAGCAAAUCCGGAGCCCCCAGGCUUCGAACUCGCGAGUGCUGGCUGCCCCACUGCAAGCCCUGCCAUCUACGCUAGGCGCAGCCCUCACUCUGCCACUGCUUCUGAAAACACCUUAGAGGGCUGGAAUCCGGAUGGCACCCGUCGGGUUCGGGUACAGCUCAACCAUACCCGUACCCGCGACCCGACCCUCAACCGCUACCCGUGGUCGGGUAUGAAAUUUUUACCAUACCCGUGAUAUUUCUACCCGACCCGCCAUCACCAGUAAAUCACAGAAAAAAGAAUCACAAAAACAAAAGCACAUGAGGAAAUCACAGAAAAAAAAUCCUCGGGCGUGCAGGAUCCACGGCGUCGAGACCCAAUCCAACAGCAGCAGGGGCAAGGUCGGUCGGAUCCCAUGGCGUCGGUCCCAAUCCGGCGGCGGCGGCGGCGGCGGGUCCCGAUCUGGCGGCGGCAUGGACAUGGUCGGACGAAUCCCACGGCCUCUGUCCUGAUCGAGCGGUCGCCGGCCGGCCGACCUCCUUCAUGGUGGCGGCGGGGACGGGGGGAGGAGGCGGACACAGGGGGGCGGUGGGCAGGUGGAGGAGGCAGCGCACGGGGCGGCGGCGGACUGGUUGGAGGAGAAGGGGGCACGGGGCAGCGGACCGGUGGAGGAGCCGGGGGCGCGGGGUCGGCGGGCCGGUGGAGGAGGCUGGGGACGGAGGAGUGUCAUGGAGGAGGCUGGGGAAGGAGGAGCGUCGUGGAGGAGGCGGGGAGGCGGACGGGGGGCUCGUGGUUGUGGACAGAGACGGCGGACAGGGUUAGGUUUUGGGGCCAUCCGGGUUUUUAUAUGAAUGGUAUUGGGCUGGGCCUCUUUGAUGGGCGAUUUUGUACAUGGCUGACAAAUUAGGUGCAGGCAGACGGGUCCGGGUAGGCCAAUAUCAUACCCGUACCUGCCAUACCCGUCAGGUACAAUAUUUUACCAUUUAGAUACCCGCAGGUAUUUUUUUAUUACCAUACCCGUAUCUUAAACGGUCCAUCGGGUAUGCGGGUAUCGGGUACCCAUUGUCAUCCAUAGGCUGGAAUAUGCUAGAUGCACCUAAGAUGUCAAGUCGUGAACGCACCAUGUUGGCAUGUUACCCACAGGAAAUCCACAUUUCUGGUCUUGUCGUC
RNAcentral lists this long non-coding RNA (48309 nucleotides) under Brachypodium distachyon (stiff brome). Its description in RNAcentral is "long non-coding RNA (BDIS_LNC000767)". Lineage: Eukaryota; Viridiplantae; Streptophyta; Magnoliopsida; Poales; Poaceae. The record is from RNAcentral.